GUACCCUCCCCGAAUGGGGAAAAUCCCCGAGGGUACCCGUCCCCGUGGGGAUUUUUGCCAUCCCUAAAUAAAUCCCAACACCCAGCCCAAUCGAAUGCCCUCCACAUUUUUAUUAAAUAACCUCCAAAAUGAUCCGUUAAUCCAAAAUAUCACUUAGUCCACCCUCCUAUACCUCAGUUUUGAAAUCUGUCCCCAAUCUGAAUCAAAAUAAACUCACUAAAAAAUCUUUGGUGGAUAUUAUGAACGACCCAUCCAACUUGACGAUUUCGAUCAAGACUGUUACUUCAUUCGAGGGAGAUAAUUUAUCUAUUAUUUUAAUGCUUCCAUAACUUAAUUUUAUGUUAAAUUAUAUUUUAUUAUCUUAAUUUUUAUAUUUUGUCAUUGUAAGAAUAUUGGGAAUAUUCAUGAGGAAAGAAGCUUAAAGAGAAAAUAAAUUGGAGUAUAAUGGAAAUAAUGUGGAAGUAAAAGGAAAAGAAAUAAAAUACCAAAUCAAGGAAGAUUGGAUUUAGGCAUCAUGCAAGCAAUCACGUGAAAAAUAAAGGAAGAGAAGAAAAGGUCAAUUGGCUUUUAAUUUCAAGCUAGUUACGUGGAGCCCAUUUGACAAUUUAAAUGGCGAUCUUAGAAUAUAUUAAAGGAAGCAAAUAUUUUGGCAUUGUUUGAAAAGGCUAUUCACGUGCAUGGGCUUAAAAGUGGCGGCCGGGCUUUUGUUCUUUUUCCUUUCCACGUGAGGAUUCAAGGUGCAACAAUAUAAAAGGAAAAGUGCAGAGCAUCAGCCGAAUAAAAAAAACUGAAGAUUGGAGAGAAAACCGAGAGAAAGAAAAGAACAAGAGAAGCUGCUGUAAAUCCGGGAGCAAGAAUUUGAAUAAGUCAAUUGCAGAGAUUGGAGAGAGAUAGCUUCUUGAGUUUUUUUUUUCCCUCUUCUCUAUUAUCUUACUUGAAUGUUCCUAAUUAAAUUAAUGGAUUCUCUUUAUAUUCCCUUGAACUAAUUUAUUUUACUAGGGCUAUGAAGAUUUAAUACCAUAAAUCUAUGUUAUUUUUAAUUUAUUAUUCCAUGAUUGAGUGUUUAUUAUUGUGCUUAAUGCUUUUAAAUAUCUGGCCAAUAUUUGAAUGAUUUGAGGAUACAUAAUGAGACUGGAAGGAGAUUUAUGUAUUUUUUACUUUGUGUAAUGGAUGCCAUGAAUUGAACGAAAGACAAAGAUGUACCAACGUGAUUCAUGCAGUUUUUCAAAGAGUUUCCAUAGAGCUUAAUGAAUCUUUGCAUAUUUAAAUUCACAUAGAGAUAUAGUGGGUUAAUAUGUGGAGGUAUUUUUUAUAUUACUCGAGAGAGGAUAUUGAAUAGAUUAGUGAAAUUCACUGCAUGUGAACAUGGAUAAUAAACUUUAAUAGCAUAGAUGGAGGAUUAAAUUGGAUUGGUUAUGGUGAAAUCGGAUGUCAAAGUGUCUUAAUCUUUUGGUGAUUUCUAUUACUGCCUACGUCUUUAUUUAAUUUUUAAUUAUUUUAUUUUAUUUUAAUCUAAAUUCGCUUAUUCGAUUGUUCAAAUAAAUUAUGGUUAAAAUAAUUUCGGUAACUAAUAGGAUAUACAAUCUAUGUGAGACGAUACUCUACUCUUCAUUAUAUUACUUGUGUCGAUUAGUACACUUGCUAAUUUACGCAUCAGAUCCUAACAUGCAAUUUUCCACUGCAGAAAUUCAAGCGAUGUCCAUUCCUUUCAAGCUAAUAUUGGUAGGUGAAUUUUCCUACAAUAGACCUAGUAUGGAAUUAAUUCGUAAAUUUUUUAAUACUUUGAGAUUGAAGGGAACUUUCAAGGUGUCCCUUUUAGAUAAUCGACAUGUGUUAAUUCAAUUGGAUGUUGAGGAGGACUACUCACGCCUAUGGGUUAGGCAAACAUGGUACAUCAGUGGGAGUGUCAUGAGAAUUGUUAAGUGGACCAUCGAUUUUUGAUGUUCUGAGGAGUCCCCUAUAGUCCUAGUUUGGAUUUCAUUUCCUUACUUGCCUGUCCAUUUCAUGCAUUGUAAGGAAACAUUAUUUUCUAUUGCAUCAGCUAUUGGUAAACUAUUGCAAUUGACUAAGCUACUGCCUCUUUAGCUCGCCCUUAUGUAGCUAGGGUGCUAGUGGAGUAUGAUGUCACUCAACCUCCGUUGCAACAUAUACGAAUCGAUGUGGGAGAUUCUAGGUUUUGGCAGAGUGUAAUUUUUGAGAAAAUCUCAAUAUAUUGUGCUUCCUGCAAGCACCUUGGCCAUUCCAUUGAGACGUGUUACGUGGCCAAUCUGGGACUCCGUCCUUAGCGGCCUAAUGGGAAUUGGCAAACUAGAAUAGAUAAUAAGAAGUCAGAAGUUCUGCUGUCAGAUACUCAUCAACCCUUGGACACUCCACGACCUGAGUCGUCCAUCACUAAACAGAUUGCAGAUGCGUGGUCUCUAAUUGUUCCGACGGAGAGCCGAGCUAACGCUACAGACUCUACUUCUAUUCAGGAGCCGAUUGGCCAGGAUGUCACGACUCAUAAUUCUAGGAUCCAAGAACCAGGUGAGUAUAAUACACAUCUUCAUCGAGCAUCCAACACAGAUUUUAGGCUUUACAAUUCUCAUACUGAUAAUGAUGAUAUUUUUGACGAUCACUUGGUGAAUAAUGACCAUUUCCUACCUGUUCCUGAGAAUUCUGAGAGAGUUGACUCUAGCCCUGAUUUUAUUGUUGUCGGUCAUUCAAAAAAAAGCAUUAAAUUAUUUGCCGGCCGCAAGUAUCGUAAGAGAUAUUAUCACCGUCUGCAUUAGUCUUUUUCUUCUUAUGUUAGGCUAUGCCAAGAAAUUAUUAUUAUUUUUAUUUCUCUUGAUUGAAGGUUUUAGUUUAUGUCCCCCCUCCAAAUAUAUUUUCUUUAUAUGUUCUAAAUGAUAGGUAGGGGUCCCGCCUAACCCCCCAUAGAUUGAAAAAAAAAAUUUCUUAGUGUUGUACAGUUUAAAGACCUUCAAUCCCUUUUAGUUAUUUCUUUUGUGGGUCUUCCUACUAUGCACCGAGUGUAUGCAUGGUUCACUGUGACAUGACAUAAAGCUAAUUAAAUUCUGACAUGUGUGCAAUAAGCAUUGCAAAGUAACCGGUUAUUCUGGUUGAAUUCACAACUGCCCUUGUAUGUGUGUCUGUGAUCCAAGUUGCGUACACCAUGUCACAAGUUCUCUAUUUACGCUCUUAUUAUCACAACUGUUGCUCAAUAAUGUCACGAGUAAUAUAUUGUGUUCACAAGUACUGUAAUUGCGUUUUUAUUGUCUCAAGUGGUGAACACUGAGUUGCAAGUUUUGUAAGAAACGUUCCCAAUAAAAUAAAAUAUUUAAUUGAUUCAAUUAGGAUAAAAUUAUUUUGUGAAAGAAAUUAAAUUUUAAUUUUGAAUGAUUUUGACCAAAAUUUAAGUUAUUUCAUGUGUUUAAGAAAAUGAAUUGUAAUUGUUUUAAUUAAUUGGAAAUAAUGAAUAAAUUAUGCAACAACAACAAAAAGCUAAACAAUUAGUUUUGGAUAGAUUCAAAUAUCUCCCUCGACCAAACUGCAAAAAAUUAUCAAAAAUUACUAAAUCAUUUAUUUUUUAACUUAAAAAAUCCGAAACUUGUAUUUUUAUAUUUGUGCCCUUACAAAUCAUAAAUGUUAAAACCUAAAUAAGAUUAUAUAUUAUCAUAACCUAAAUUAUGUUCAAUAGAAUACAACACUUUAAUAUUAUAAAUUAGUAUAUGUUAAUUAAUUUUAUUGUAGUUUAUGAUGUUUUAAUAUAAAAGAUAUUCAUAAAAAUUAUGAAGAUAAAUAUUUUUAAUUUAAAAAAUGAAAAGAUAAAAAUAAUAAUUGUUCAGAAAUAUAUUAUCACAAGUUAUAAAGAUGGAUAAUAAUGUUAAUUAUUAAAUUUUAUUUAGGUAAAGAUAAAAAUUAAUUAAUUAGAUAUGGAUAUUUUGGAGAAUAUCUUUUAAUGAUAUUCGCUAAAAAAAUUAUUUGUACUCACUGGCAACAUAAGAGCACAACAACAUCCGGGGAUGUUAGGACAUUAGGUUUUCUUAUUGCAAUCAUAAUUAAAUGAUUGUAAACAAUUCUUCUAGUAACUGAAAGAAAUAGGAGGAAUUCACUUUCCUGAGCGAAAUUUUGCCAAGCUCUCUGUUUACUUGGAUUCCAUAUAAGGUCCUCUGUGUAGGGUCCAUCUCACUUCGGUGGACCAAAAUGUCUAAAGUCCAAAAUAAUUUGCUUGAUGUGUAACACUUUGGAAGAUUAUUGGCCAAAUUAGCUAGAGCAGAAUGUUCUCUUAUGUCUGAUUAUGUUGUUUGUAAUUUUUUAUCUUCUCUCGGAGUGCAAAAGAGACAGUUGCUGAAGUAGUCCAAAAUGGGUAGUUUGUAGCAUUUUCAGUCUUUAUGGGGCAAAGUUCAUCUUGAAAUUUGUAGUGUCCUAACUUGAACUAUCAUCAUGGAGAAAAUAUUUGUGAUGAUAGUUGGGCCCAAAGAAAAAUUAAAAAGAUUGGAGUGGAUUAACCCACUAAUUUCAUCUCUUUCAACCCUAAUUAUCCACAAUUUGUGCUCACUGGCAACAUCAGAGCACAGCAGCAUCCGAGGAUGUUAAGACACUAGGUUUUCUUAUUGUAAUCAUGAUAAAUGAUUGUAAUUAAAUUAUAAUUAGGAUUAUGAUUGUGUUGAGUUGUUUACAAUAUAUUUUUGAAGAAACAAAAUAAAAUUAAUUCUAUUUUUUUCCCAAUGAAUUCUUACUCAAUUCCUAAAUUCUCUAAUCAUAUCCUAUAAGCCUAUCAAACUACCGCAGCAAUCCGCCAUUUAUCGCCGUCAAAUCGCCCAUUGAUACCAUGUAAACCGAGUCCGAGCCUCUUAAGGUGCUGGAGGAAGUAGAAUCCUAUAAGCUGGGAUGAUUAUUUAAAUGGUACAGGAAGGACUGCUGCUUCCCUAUGUCAAUAAGGAUACAUGACUGAACCAUCGCCAUAUUGACUUACGAACAGCUGCUAACUAGGGGAUUUUCAGUACUGAGAGUCAAGUUAAGAGUGUAAAUUUUUGCUUCAUUGGUCAUGGAUACUUAUAUUAUCAUUUACGCAGCUUAUUCUCAGGAGGUUUGUGCUCGCCCAUUUUUUAAGAGAGAAAAUAAAUAAGAACUAAAGUUAUUGACAUAGAACUAACAACAAAUUUGAAACUUGGCACAACAAGAAAUUUGAACUAACAACAUACUCUGUUCAAUAAGGUCCCAGCAAACGGCAAUGAACACAUAGAAAUCAGACAGUAAAAGAAACAUAAAUCAUUCCUAUAGUAAAAGAAACAUAAAUCAUUCCUACAGCCCAAAGAAGUUCAUUCCUGUUGAUAAACUUGAGGUGCAAAUAUCUCGUUACUUCAAGGAUGAGAUUUUUCACCACUAGUAUGAGAUUCUUCAUCACUAGAUGAAUAAUUAAUCUCACAAGCAGUCUCAUCAUAUAUGUGAGCUUGAAAAGUUGAAUUGCUCUCAUAUUCGAAAAGCACUAAAGAACCAACAGAGAUUGAAUAAGCCUCUACAAAGUCCUGCCGGCCAUCAUCAAACCGAACAUUUUCUCCAUUCUUUGUUCAACUUCACUUGCCAAACAUAGCCAUUACGAACUGUAAUGUGCGCCACAACAGACAGUUCAUGACUGAUCUUCCUCACAAUUUUGUUUGGAAUUCUCUACAUUUAAGCAAAUAAAGUCAGAGAGUCAUAUAUUCGAAGACAAGUGAAAAUCAACCAAUAAUAACAACAACAAUAAUACUACUAAAUCAAUUUUUCGUGCUAUUGCUGUCAUAAAUUGCAGCACACUUCAAUUCUCGCAGACUAAAAUUCAAGCUCGCAAGUAAAAAGAUUUAGCACAGGAUAAUCAUAACUUCACCACAUUAAACAAUAAUAUAAAGAAAUAGAAACUAAUGGAACUGUUGAUUCUAAAACCAGCAAGCGGCUGAUCUUUAGCCCCUAGACCCAAUCUUGAAGCAAUUAAUCCUUAAAUCCCUAAUUAAGCGAAACUAGAGAUUAUAAUCUAGACCACAAACGAUAUGACUCAAUAAAGAAGAAGCAUGAGCAAAUUGGAAAUGUAAAGCACACAAAAAAGAAUUAAGUGGUUUGGCAUUGUAAGCCUACAUCCACUUUGAAACGAAUGAAGCAAGAUUUCACUAACUCCCUUAAAGUUCAAAAUACAACCAGAGGACUACCUCAUGAACCCCCUUCUGCACACCCCUUGUACAUCAAGAGAAAAGAAUCACAGAAGGAAAAAAAAAAACUGAAGCAAGCAUUAUAAUUAUGAGUUUGUUAGAGCCCAGAAUGAUUAAGUAAAGAAAAUUUUGUUAUCAGAUAAAAUCUCAUUUCUACAUAAAACCAUACAAUUUGCGAAGAAAUGAAGGUUUAUCAAGAAAUGAAGUAUACCAACUUCUGGUCUCGGAGGAUAGACGGAAGCACGGCUUUAACAAAUCUUGGAGGAAUCUCCAGCAAAGAAAGCGAAAUGGGCUGAGAAGGCAUUUAUUCUUCCGUUAGUUAUCUGAGCUAUAAGAGCAAAGCUUCGUUCCAAGUUAUAUAAACUUGAGAUUUUCUUCUUUUUGAAAAGAAGAGUUAACACAAUUAACUAUCAACACUUUUCUAUUUCGUCUACCCUACCUUUCGUAUGAUAUUUUAUCUACCGCUGCGCCAUAUUUCCCUUUUUCGUUAAGGAAGAGUUAACACAAUCAACUAUCAGCACUUUUCCAUUUCGUCUACCCUACCUUUUGUCUGAUAUUUUCUCUAUUGUGGCGCCAUAUUUCCUUUUUUCAUUCUUUAAACUUUAAAGCUUUGCUUUUUUUAGGGUCUUGUUACUAUGCACCCCGUAUAUGCAUGGUUUACUGUGACAUGAUAUAAAGCCAAUUAAAUUCUGACACAUGUGCAAUAGCAGCUGUGAAUUCUACUGGUCCUUCUUUGUACAAAAAAGGUUUAUAAGUGUCUUGAAUAUUAAAAUAAAAACUUAGAUAUCAUAUUUUAUAAAAGUCCUUACUCAUAGUCAAAAGUUAUUAGUUCAAGAGUUACAUGAUCCAAGUUAAUUUCGUUCAAAUAAAAGCUGCAACUUUGUGUUAAUUUUUCUAUUUAAAUUAUAUCCUAAAAAUAUAGACUCACUUCAAGCUUUAUUACACUCAAACAACUUCUGCAUCUUUCUUAGAUAACAUGAUGGAAAUGAUGUUCCAUUUAAAAGUGCAGUUUUAUUAUCAUCAGACUACUCGUAUUUUAUUGUUAUUUUCAUUGUCGAUAUUUUCAAGUUUCUAUUAAUUUGAUGGAGAAAUAUUGUCUUAUAAUAAGUUGCUCUUUUAUGAGAUGAACACGAACGGUAAAGUAUUAGAAAAGAAAAUUUGUUGAAGGAAACCUGGAGUAAACUUCAUUUUUAGUAGAAGAGGAUGUGAUUAAUUUGUUUGCACUUUACGGUGGACUAGAGUUAAUAAGAGUGAAUGGUCAUAUUACUGCAGGCAUAAAUAGCUUUACCACUGGUUGAAGGCUAUACUAGGUUGUUUUCUUAACAAUGAUAAUCACAAUCAUAACACUUGUGUUCAAGAAUUUCUUGAUUAGUUUUCAUUUUUAUACUUAUUACAAACCCUAUUACUUAAUGGAUGAAAAUAUAACAUGAUUGGAAAUAUGAGGACAAGAUCAACAUAUUUGAUUCUUUCGGCUGGCCCUCCAACACAGAGAGAUUCAUCUUAUAAAAUGGAUCUUCCUUCUGAAUAAUUAGAGUUUGUUCACCAGAAAAGACUGGCUUUAGACAAUCUCAUAGAUGGUCCAACAAGUAUUCAUCCGAUUAUUCAAAUUCUUUUACUCUUGUUGAUAGACAUACAAGAAUGACUGUAUGAGAAUUGAUAAUGAGAAUCAAAGUCAGUUAAUACACACAUAUACAUCAAUUACAAGAAUCACAACAUAAUUGAACUGAACACUAAACGUUGAGAGUGAAGUUAUGUUUUGGGAUAAUUCGUGAAGUAAUAAUUCUUCUAGCAACAGAAAGAAAUAGGAGGAACUCACUUUCCUGGGCGAAAUUCUGCCAAGCUCUCUUCUUACUUGGAUUCCAUAUAAGGUCCUCUGUGUAGGGUUCAUCUCACUUCGGUGGACCAAAAUGUCUAAAGUCUAAAAUAAUUUGCUUGAUGUGUAACACUCUGGAAGAUUAUUAGCCAAAUUAGCUAGAGCAGAAUGUUCUCUUAUAUCCAAUUGUGUUGUUUGUAAUUUUUUAUCUUCUCUCGAAAUGCAAAAGAGAGAGUUGUUGAAGUAGUCCAAAAUGGGUAGUUUGUAGCAUUUAUAGUCUUUAUGGGGCAAAAUUCAUCUUGAAAUUUGUAGUGUCCUAACCUGAACUAUCAUCAUGGAGAAAGGAUUUGUGAUGAUAGUUGGGCCCAGAGAAAAAUUAAAAAGAUUGGAGUGGAUUAACCCACUAAUUUCAUCACUUUAAACCUUAGUUAUCCACAAUUUGUACUCACUGGCAACAUCAGAGCACAGCAGCAUCCGAGGAUGUUAAGACACUAGGUUUUCUUAUUGCAAUCAUGAUAAAUUAUUGUAAUUAAAUUAUAAUUAGGAUUAUGAUUGUGUUGAGUUGUUUAUAAUAUAUUUUUGAAGAAACAAAAUAAAAUUAAUUCUAAUUUUUUCCUAAUCAAUUCUUGCUCAACUCCUAAAUUCUCUAAUCAUAUCCUAUAAGCCUAUCAGACUACCGCAGCAAUCCGCCAUUUAUCACCGUCAAAUCGCCCAUUGAUACCAUGUAGACCGAGUCCGAGCCUCUUAAGGUGCUGGAGGAAGUAGAAUCCUAUAAGCUGGGAUGAUUAUUUAAAUGGUGCAGGAAGGACUGCUGCUUCCCUGUGUCAAUCAGGAUACAUGACUGAACCAUCGUCAUAUUGACUUACGAACAGCUACUAACCAGGGAAUUUUCAGUAUUGAGAGUCAAGUUAGGAGUGUAAAUUUUUGCUUCCUUGGUCAUGGAUACUUAUAUUAUCAUUUACGCAGCUUAUUCUCAGGAGGUUUGUGCUCGCCCAUUUUUUAGAGAGAAAAUAAAUAAGAACUAAAGCUAUUAACAUAGAACUAACAACAAAUUUGAAACUUGGCACAACAAGAAAUUUGAACUAACAACAUACUCUAUUCAAUAAGGUCCCAGCAAACGGCAAUGAACACAUAGAAAUCAGACAGUAAAAGAAACAUAAAUCAUUCCUACAGUAAAAGAAACAUAAAUCAUUCCUACAGCCCAAAGAAGUUCAUUCCCGUUGAUAAGCUUGAGGUGCAAAUAUCUCAUUGCUUCAAGGAUGAAAUUCUUCACCACUAGUAUGAGAUUCUUUAUCACUAGAUGGAUAAUUAAUCUCCCAAGCAGUCUCAUCAUAUAUGUGAGCUUGAAAAGUUGAAUUACUCUCAUAUUCGAAAAGCACUAAAGAACCAACAGAGAUUGAAUAAGCCUCUACAAAGUCCUGCCAGCCAUCAUCAAACCGAACAUUUCUCCCUUCUUUGUUCAACUUCACUUGCCAAACAUAGCCAUUAGGAACUAUAAUGUGCACCACAUCAGACAGUUCAUGACUGAUCUUCCUCACAAUUUUAUUUAGAAUUCUCUACAUUUAAGCAAAUAAAGUCAGAGAGUCAUGUAUUCGAAGACAAGUGAAAAUCAACCAAUAAUAACAACAACAAUAUUAAUACUAAAUCAAUUUUUUCAUGCUAUUGAUCUCAGAAAUUGUAGCACACUUCAAUUCUCGCAGACUAAAAUUCAAGCUCGCAAGUAAAAAGAUUUAGCAUAGGAUAAUCAUAAUUUCACCACAUUAAACAAUAAUAUAAAGAAAUAGAAACUAAUGGUGUUGUUGAUUCUCAAACCAGCAUGCAGCUGAUCUUUAGCCCCUAGACCCAAUCUUGAAGCAAUUAAUCAUCAAAUCCCUAAUUAAGCGAAACUAGAGAUUAUAAUCCAUACCACAAAUGAUCUAACUCAAUAAAGAAGAAGCAUGAGCAAAUUGGAAAUGUAAAGCACACAAAAAAGAAUUAAGUGGUUUGGCAUUGUAAGCCUACAUCCACUUUGAAACGAAUGAAGCAAGAUUUCACUAACUCCCUUAAAGUUCAAAAUACAACCAGAGGACUACCUCAUGAAUCCCUUUCUGCAUACCCCUUGUACAUCAAGAGAAAAGAAUCACAGAAGGAAAAAAAAAAAUGAAGCAAGCAUUAUAAUUCUAAGUUUGUUAAAGCCCAUAAUGAUUAAGUAAAGAAAAUUUUGUUAUUAGAUAAAAUCUCAUUGCUACAGAGGACCAUACAAUUUGUGAAAAAAUGAAGGGUUAUCAAGAAAUGAAUUAUACCAGCUUCUGGUCUCGGAGCGUCGACAGAAGCCUGGCUUUAACGAAUCUUGGAGGAAUCUCCGGCAAAGAAGGCAAAAUGGGCUGAGAAGGAAUUGAUUCUUCCGUUAGUUAUCUGAGCUAUAAGAGCAAAGCUUCGUUCCAAGUUAUAUAAGCCUUGGAUUUUCUUCUUUUUAAAAGGAAGAGUUAACGCAAUUAACUAUCAGCACUUUUCCAUUUCGUCUACCUUGCCUUUCGUAUGAUAUUUUAUCUACCAUCGCACCAUAUUUCUUUUUUUCGUUAAGGAAUAGUUAACACAAUUAACUGUCAGCACUUUUCCAUUUCGUCUACCCUGCCUUUCGUCUGAUAUUUUCUCUACUGCCGCUAUAUUUCCUUUUUUCGUUCUUUAAACUUUAAAGCUUUGCUUUUUUUAGAGUCUUCCUACUAUGCACCCGGUGUAUGCAUGGUUUACUGUGACAUGACAUAAAGCCAAUUAAAUUCUGACACGUGUACAAUAGCAACUGUGAAUUCUACUGGUCAUUCUUUGUACAAACAAGGUUUAUAAGUGUCUUGAAUAUUAAAAUAAAAACUUAGAUAUCAUAUUUUAUAGUUGUAUUAGUAAGAUUACAAGUUGAAUUAUUGAAAACUAAAAGCAUGGAUCGAGGAACAUAGUUGAGACUACAAGAAUUAAAGACACAAUCACCCUUUAAUAGUAACUGAUACAAUCUACCUUCAGCAAUCCCUUGAGCCAGAUGCCUUUUUUUCUUCUUGUCCUUUAUGAAACACAUAUUGGCAACAAACUUAAUGGUUAUAUUAUUAUCUUGAAGCAAUUUGGAAAUGCAAAUAAGAAUUUUAGUCAGAUGAGGUACACACAAAACAUCUUUUAAGUGUAGAACCGUAUUGCAGGAUGUAUUAAGACAAGUGUAGCCAAUACAUGAAAUAUGUAAUCCUUGACCAUUACCAAUAUGUAAGAGUUGAUUACCUGAAUAUUCUCCUCCAAUAUUCAAAUUCUAUAGAUUGUUGGUGAGAUUAUGUGUAGUGCUACUAUCAAUAUACCACCCUUGAUCAACCAUUGUUCUCUCUAAAGUUGUAAGAUAACUAGCCCUUGAUGAACUAUGAUAUGGAUUAUAAGAAGGAACAUAGUCUAUGUUGUAUCUGUUUCUACAUUCAGCUGAAGUGUGUUUUGGCUUAAAGCAAAUUUGACAAAUCGCAGCAGUAAUGGUUGGAUUCAAAACUCUUUUGCCAUUAAUAAAAGCUUUAUUCUGGCUAAAAUUUCUGAUGUUGUUACCACCAUAACCACCUCUACCUAAGCUUGGUGGAUAAUUUCCAACAGCCACACCAUUCCAAGCACCAUUCCAGUUACCUAUUCCUUAACUAUGUGCAAAAUUUCUACGAAAACCACUUCUGCCUCUAGCAUAACCACCUCUAAAACUAGCAAUCUUGUUCUAAUUAUUAUUAGAUUGAUCUUCAGUCCAAUUGUUAUUAAACUGACCUCUAGAUUUCUUAUUAUUAGGUCCAAUUUGAGCAAUAUUAGUAGCAUAGUUCAACUUGGCUUCCUUGCCAGCACUAAAUUGAUUAGCCUAUAAUCUAGUUUUGUAAAUUAAUAACAUGGAAUAGGCUUCAUUGACAGUGAUUUUAGCCAGAUUUGCUUCAAUAUAGACAACAACUGGAUAAUAAGCUUGAUAUAAUCCUAAGAUCAGAUGAGUAAGGAAGUCCAAAGAACUAAUAGGAUUACCUGUAAUAGCUAGCUCAUCAUAUUGUCUUUAAUUUUCUAAAAAGUUCAGUCAUAAACAUGGAGCCUAUUUUUAGAGUAUUGAGCAUCAUCUUCAAAUGAAUUUUCUUAACAAAGGUUUUAGAUCCAAAUUGUUUCAAGAGAGGUUUUAGAAUUCACCACAAGACUAAGAAUCUCGAGACUGAUGGAUGACAUUAGCCAGUUUAGCAACAAUUGAUCCUUUCUCUUCCAUGAGGUGAGUGAUGGAUUAAUCUAUGAUUCAGUAGUUGAGUUUUCAAUUUCACUAGAAAGAAACUGAUCUGGACAAAGUGUUGAUCCAUCAAAUAGGCCUUCAAGUCCAUUAGCAAGAACUAAAGAUGAGAUAUGAUAUUGUAUAAUUCAACUGAUCCAGUUCGAUUAGUGAAGUAAAUGUAAAUGAGGAAACAUAGGAGUUUGUAGUUGUAUUUGAGCUUAAAGAAACCAUAAGGAUUGGCAGUUCAAGCUCUAAUACUAAGUUAAAGUUUCUAAAUGUGUUUGGUAAAUAAGAAAAUGAGAGAAAAUGCGAGAAAAUAAAGGAAAGAACAGAGAGCAACUAAGAGCUGAAUUUUAUGAAUGAAACAGAAUCUAUACUGAUCACAAGUGUAUAUAUACAAGAUUUUUAAACAUUCCAAAUUCAGUAUGCAUGAGUAAAGUAUCCGUGAGCUAAGCAACAUGCACUAACAAACCACUAACAAUACAACUAACUUAUGCUAGCUCAAUUGAUAUGUCAGUAACUCUAAUUAACUGGCUUAACAAAAUGAAAUAAUAACUAAUCAUUUUAACUAUCUCAACAAUUACAAUGAAUCUUAAUAUGGAUUCAUCACCCGCUGAAUUAUAUAUUUAAAAAGUUAAUGGGUUUUAUGUGAAGACCCAUCUCUCUACCAUGGUUAAUGCUAAAUACCUACAUGUCUGGGAUACAAGGAUUACUAUUGAAUUAAUGAUGCGUUUACUUUUUGGAUUGGAUUGAGAAUCCUGAGGAGUGGGAAUCCUGGGAUUAGGAGUGUGGAGUGGGAGUGGGAGUAGAGUGUUUACUUAGACUAAAUGAAAGUAUGGAUUGUCAAUCAGAAUCCCAAUUAUUUGUUUACUUUGUCUUGGAUUGGGAGUAAAUUAUUUUAAAUUACAAUUUUAUCCUUAUGUAAAGAAUUUGUAGUUUUUUUUAAAAAAUGAAUAAAAAAAUAUUUGUACAAUAACCUAUUUAUUUUAUCAUUAAUUUUAAUUAUAUAAAAUACUAAUUAUUUUUAAUGACGUAAAAUAAAUUUUUUUAUGAAUUUUAUUUUAAUUUUAAAACUAAAAUUUAUUGGUAAUAUUUAUCUGUAUAAACAAAAGACAAUUUAAAAUGUUAGAUUAUACUAUUACAUUGUGCCAUCGUCAAGAAAAUUAUUUUUCACAACUUUAAUUUUUCCAUCCUGUUAUUUUUUAUUUAUUUAUUUUUUCAAAUUUUAUGUGCAUACACAACUUGUUCUAAAUAUGAACAUAUCAAGGCAUAGGGCAGCCAUCAGUUUUGAUGCCUGGAGCUAUAGGCCAUUUUGGCAAACAACCUUUCUAUCUUUUCCAGUGGCUUUCCAGUAGCUAGUUUUGGUGGCUCUAUUUGUUCUCGAGCCAUUCGGGUAAUUUCGAUCCCUAGGACAGAAGAAGAACCAUUCCAUAUCUCGUUUUGGAAGGAAUGAUUUCUCUGCAAAUUUACAUUUUGUUGAAUUCUCAAAUCAAUAAGAUUAAGGUAAACAGAAUGACCGAAUAUAAAACAGCUACUCACUGCUUUUUUUCUCAUUAUUGUACAUGAAAACUUAAAUCCCAUAAAAUUGGCUUUUAGUACAAAAAGUUAAGGCCCCAUGUGAAGAAAGAUUCUAACAGGAAUCAAAUAAAUAAAACAAACGAAAAAGUGCUUUACAAAGCUAAAAACAAUUCCUUGUUCACAUUAACUUUCAACUGUCUUUGAUCACUAAAGCUAAUUCAUGUUUUUCAUGGCAAUUAGACAAAUACAAACAUUACACGAUUAAAAUCUGAGGUACUUGGUAACUCCCAAGGAUCAAAUUUGUACAAUUAGACCACAUGAAUACACAACUUGUUCUAAAUAUGAACAAAUCAAGGCAUAGGGCAGCCAUCAGUUUUGAUGCCUGGAGCUAUAAGCCAUUUUGCCAAUAGGUAAUACUUGGUAGAAUGAAGUCCCCACCACUAUGGUCCAAAAAUAUCAUUAGACUGCAGCAUAAAGUAAAUCAAUAUAGCCAUGAAAACAAAAUUAAAUAUUGUUCAUUAGUUCGAUAUAGUUUCGAACCCCAAAAUAUAUUACAUAGCACCUCAAGUCCAAGGUUCCAAAAUAAUAUUAUAUAAGAACACAUCUCUAAAGUUCCAAAAUAGUGUGUUCAUUUGACAAAACACAAUCCAAAUUUCCAAACUAAUACAAGGACUGCAUCUCACAAACCACGACCAAUCUUUCGAAGGAUAUACCCCUUUUUCAGCUCAUUGGGCAAGUUGAAGAACACACGUAGCUUAUCAUGUUUGGUUGCCAAAAUAUCAAUCGCAUCUAAUAUUUCUUGCUCGCCUAAGCCUUCAAUCUUACAUAUUUCACCAUACAACUUAGCUUGUAAAUCAAAUAAUUCUUUGUCAGCAGUAGAAAGUACGCUAAUCAACCCAUCAAGCUUGGGUACAAUGGCUGAAAUGGACUCUGCCAUUGCCCCCAUAUUUGAAGACAUAUUUUCAAAUGUCUUGUCCUUGGUUCUUCUUUUCUUCUUGGGAUGGCUGGAAUUACUUGGAAUGCUUUCAUUUUCAUUAGCAUGUGCAUGUGAUUGUGGAGUGUGUGACAUAUCAUCAAGAAUAUUCUCCAUAAAAGUCUCAUGAGUGGAAUCAUUUCCUAAGGUGAAAUUAAAAUUGUCUUCAUGACGUACCUCUUCUUCGUCAUCAUCAGCAUUGCCGGCAUUUGCUCCAUUAGCUCUAUCACGACCAAAGAUCUCACUCAAUGUGUAAUAAUGGGGAAAUGGUUUGAGAAAUAACCCACUUGCAUCCUUUCUUUUCUGUUGGGGGAAUAACAAAACAAAGAAACAUGAACAGCACAACAACAUAAACAGGACAACAAAUGAUUGAUUAAUGUUAAACAAUCAGUGCCCUUUAAUCUUAAACGAACAUAAACAGCAAAUAUUUAACAAAGAAACAAGAUCAACACAUCAAAAGAAUGAAGCCUAGAAAUAAUAAUGGAACAAAGAAACAUGAACAGCCCAUCAACAUAAACAGCCCAGAAACGGAGUCAAAAACAGAGCACGAACAUCCAAAACAGCCCAAAUGAAAUAAAUCAGAUAGAUAAAGGACAUUAUAAACUUCAAAACCAAUUAUGAUCUACUCCCUAACUCUCAAUAGAAAGAAUAAAGUUAGGUAUUUUACCUUCACAUACUCAUCGUAAACACUUUUAUCACAUACGAUCAUCGACUUCUCUGAAUCCCAACCAAACCCACUUAGAGCUAACAUGUCUGCCACAGCAUUAUGUUUUAGCUUGAAAUACUUCACUCUAGAUUCAGUAUGGGGAGAUGCUUUCAAUCCAAACAUUUUUGAAAAUUUUUUUCCAACCUUUUUUUAAUUUUUAAAUAUCCAGUUUUGAACCCACAAUCUACCCGCACAUUGGAUUUUGACUCAAUUCAUACAAUGAAUCUACCAAUGCAUCAUCUUGGGCUGUUGUCCAGUAAUGCUUCGACAGCCACGACCUCUUUGACUCAUUCUAUUUACAAUAAAAUAAAUUUGUUAUAAAAAAAAAGUAUAACGUCAACUACACUUGAUUGUAUAGUUAAAUGCAACAUAUAAAAUGAAAAUAAAUGGCAAAAAUAAUUCAUCAUAAAAAAUAAUAAUAAAUUGCAUAAACAGCAAAUAUAAAAUAAUACAUUGUCAAUUAAAACAAUCACAUUAUUAUUGAAGGAACACACCAAACAAAUACAUUGUUAAAUACCAUUACAAGUGAUUUAACAAACUACAAUGAUAAUAAACGAAUGUCCUCAUGCAUUCCUCAUGUUCCACAUCUCUUGAGCUAAAUUAUCUCUCCAAGCAGACCACUCAUUUGAAGUGUCAAUUGACUCAAUGAAUUGUGCUUCGUCAACAUUGUCCCCUAUGUCAUCAUCUAUUUCUUCUUCCAUAACAUCGAUAGACAUUUCCGUUCUUAUGAAAUUGUGCAACAUAUAACAAACGGAUAUUAUACGACGUUGUGUUAUAAUAUCAUAAAAAGCGGGACUUCUAAGUACAGCCCAUCUCUUCUUUAAUAUCCCGAAACAUCGCUCAAUCACAUUGCGAGCACUAGAGUGUUUCAUAUUAAAAAACUCUUUUGGUGUAUGAGGUUGGUGUCCAUCACGAAAGUCGCUCAAAUGAUAACGUUCCCCUCUAUAUGGUGAAAGAAAACUCAUCCCAUUGGUAUAGCCAGCAUCAACCAAGUAAUAAUAACCUAUAAAAAUAAUAAGAUAACGUUGUAUGAAAAAAAAUCAUUCGCCAAGUAAUAUACUCUCACAAGCUAAAGAAAAAUUUGGUUAAAUUUAUUACCAUGAGGGACUUUUAACCCAUUUCUUCUAGUUAAGGCAUCUUUUAGCACGCUCAUAUCAUGAGUUGAACCUUCCCAACCCGGUAAGACAUAUAUAAAUUGCAUAUUUUGUGAACAAACUCCCAAAACAUUUGUUGCAAUCUCAUUUUUUCUAGUUCUAUAUCUUGGUUUAUCGGCCUCCGAAACAUGAACUUUUAUAUAAGUACCAUCUAAAGCUCCUAAGCAAUUCUACAAUAAACCAUUAAAAAAAAUUAAUGAGUCAAUGUACAAAGUGUAUUAGAGAAGACACAAAUGAAACAAAAUAUUAUACUUACCGUAAACCACUUCCAUUUUGGGUCCGUUGAGUUGUCUGUAAUUGGCUCAGGUUUCUUCCAAAAUUCCUUUUGACAUCUAAUCAUUGCCCUUAAACACUCAUGAAAACAUUUACUAACUGUUCUUCCGGAUCUCUUAAAGUUAAAACCGACAACCCGAUUUUUGACAUGAUGUGCUAAGAUUGACAAAAACAUUGCAACCAUUUCCUCUGGAGACACCCUUUUACUUCUAACCAAACUCCCUUUCUCACAAAGAAGCUUACAUAAUUUGAAAAAUGCUUGUCUAUCCAUUCUUAAUUGUGACAAACAUUUUAUAUCACUUUCAAACACCAAGCCAUGCAAAUGUGACAGUUGUUGGUAAACUCUAUAAGCUGAAUUUGGAUUUUCCAACCUUUGUUCACAAGAUAAGUAAACAUAGGAAUACAUAGCAGCACACACAGCCAUAAUCAUUUGCAACAUGACAACUAGUUCUUGUAUAAUUACCAAGAUUUUCUGCUUUCUUGCUAACAACCGUGACAUCCUAUCGCUUAACAAAAAAGAAAACUCGAUAAAUAAAAUGGGCUGGAAAAUUAAUUUUUAUUUCUUUAUGAUGGAACCUCAACUAAAUGAGCUGGAAAAUAUAUUAACUAAUCCAUCAGUUAUAUAAAAUAAGCCAAAACCAACAAGAGGAAAUUGAUCAAAUCGAACAGCAGCAAAAACAAUCUCUUUCAUUCUCUUUCAAUUACUUUUCUGUUAAAACACAGACAAAAAUAGCUAAUGCUUGGAUGCCAGAGGCAUAAAAAAGGUCAAAAUUUUGCUAAAAUAAUAAUAAGUCUAAUUAUUUUUCAACUUGUCAUUGAUCAAGUGUUUUCUCAAUAGUCACAGCAAGAGGAAAUGAUAGCUUAAAUAAGAGAACAAGAAUAAAGUAGACUAUGUAAUUAUCAUGCCUUAUCUUUCCCAGCAUCAUUAUAUUAGUCAAACAUGUGGAGUCAAUAACUAAUCAUUAUGUCCAAAUAAGAACUGCAAAAAGUUUACAUUCCAAUAUAAAUAUAAACUAAUUAUAUUGCAAAAAGUUUACACUUGUUGAGUUCCCUUCGAAUAUGUUUACAUAUUGUAACCAUAAAUAGUUGUAAAUUAUGGACCCUAAUCUUACACAUGGCAAAAUCUUAAAUUGGCAUGCAUUAGACUAAUUAUGGAUCUGCAUGUACACGAUCACUGCUCUCUUGAAAAUGGGAGAAAAAAACCAAAUCCAUGCAUUAAAUUUUCACAACCCAGAAUAGAGAAAUUUUAAACAAAAAAAAAGAGCUUCCACAUGACCACUGAACUGGCACCACAUCUUGUCUCUAUACGCAGUAAGAGCAAAAGCAGAGAAAAAGCACUUUCAACACACAAAAGAACUUCCUCUUUUAUUUUCACUUUUUGACCAAAAAAAAUAAGCAAAUCGGUUCGAGCAACACAUGUAACACAGAGAUAAAUUAAUGACAGAUCGUUGCAUGUAUGACUCAACAAAAACUAGAUCAGCGGCAUGAAUGUUAUUAGAAAACAUUACCUUGGAUGAUUCGAAAUCGACAAAAGAGAAUUUUUAGCAGCGUGGGUAGUGAUUCCAAAGCCGUGAUUGAGGCUAGUUCAUGUAUUCUCUUUUCGCCGGCACCGGUGACCUUUUCCAAGUGAAGAAAUCGAGCAAUGAUUUUGGGAUUUCACGAGUUAGAUUUUGGGAUUUCACUGGUUAGGGUUUGAUGAACUUGAAAUUCGUUACCAUUCAGUCUUUUUUAUAUAUGGUACAAUUGUAAAUUUUGAUAUUGUUUAAGGGCGUUUUUGGUAUCAAAAGAGUGGGAGUGGGACUCCCACCUCUCCCCACGGGAGUGGGAAUCCCACUCCCCCUUCAAAACUUGCAAGUAAAUGCUGGAGUGGGAGAAAUCCACACUCCAACAAGUAAACACUACAUAAAUUGAGUGAAUCCAACCGCUCGUAUUCAUUUUAUUAUUAAAUAAUAAAAAAUUUUAAGGAAAUUGCAAACCUGUGAAACCGGUCGUACUUUUGGUUUAGGUUAAAAAUAUAUUAAAAAAAAAAACCCACACUCCCUCACCUCACACACACGCCUCACCACUCCCUCACCUCACCCGUCCUCUUCCUGUUCCACGGCCAUCAAUGGCGGUGCGAGUCGACAACAAUCAACUGCGGCGGCUGAUCUUCGUCUCCGGUAACGAUUAACGACGGCGCAAGCACAGCUGAUCUGUGCGCUAGCUCAAGCUUGGCCGAUCUGUUGCUUGCUCGAUUACUCUUCCUAUAUUCACUCAGAGUCAACUGUUUGACAAGAGUCGAAGUCCAAGUUAUUUUUUAAUUGAAGUUUUAAUUUAAUUUUUAUUUUUUAACUUGGUUUAGAACAUAAAUUCAUUCUUUAAUUUUGAUUUUCUGAGAAGUUAAUGAAUAUAUAAUGAAACUAUGUGUCUCAGAUUGAGGUCGGGCAUGUUUAUAUUUGCGUAAUCUGGAUACAGGAACCGUUUCAAAUAAAUUCAAGGUAACAUUCAAGUUUAUUUCAUCUUCUUCUCCCAUUUGUAGUUGAAAAUUAUCUCAAAAUCUUUUAUUUUCUGUGGGAUUAUGUUUAAUUUUGAGAGUUGGGUUUUGGUAAUGAGAUUGUUUAUGAUUAGGGUUGUCCCUCUUCCUAUUUUAGGCUUUUCAAUUUCGUUGAAAGCUUUGCUUUAAUUUGUUUUCAUUGAUAGUUAAUAUCAAAAAUUCAAAAAAGAAAUUGAUAAUAAGGCUUAUCUAUUUUGUUUUUGCAUAUUUUGAUAACGUUGCUUGUCCCCAUUUGUGGUUCCGCUUUUGGGGUUGAUUUGAUAAUUUUUCAUGGUUGAAGAUGAUCCAUUGACCAUGUUCACAAAUUAGAUAUAUUAUUUUUCAUCAAACUAAAACAACAAUGGACAAUUCUAGGGUCUGUUGUGCUGUAGUUCUGCUAUCAAAAUAGCUCCUGGAAGUUUUCAAGAGCAGUUUUGCUGGUGUUCCACUAUGAAAACAACCCUGGAAAUUUGGAUGGGCUGUUUUGCUGCUGUUCUGUGAUGAAAACAGCCCCGAGAAAUUUGCAGGGGCAGUUUUGCUGCUGCUCUGCUAUGAAAACAGCCCCUGGAAAUUUGCAGAUGUUGGUUUGUUGCUGUUCUAGAGGGACUAAUGAUGUGUUUGGAUCUUUAUGCAACAGGUGCAAGUAUCUCCGUGUUUUAGUCGACACUAAAACCCCUGCUGACUUCAAGUGGCUCCCUUGAAUUGGCAAUUGGAUUUGCUCUGGUAAGUAUCUUUUUACUUUCUAUCUCUUAUUCUGUUUCCAUAUUUCUUCAUAUUAUUAGUUCUAGAGCUUUUUUCCUUUUAAUAUUUUUAAUUUUUAAUUUUCUAUUUCUGAAAUACUUGCUGGAUUGUAGUUUCUACUGUUUUUUUUUUUUUUUGUGAAAUAUUUUAGCUAUUUGUUGAUAGGUUUAGUUUAGGAGUUAUAUUGAAGAGUUUGGUGUUUAAUAUUAAGAACUAAGUAAUAGGUAAUGUUGAAACAGAACACAUGCUUAGGUGAUACAUCAGUACAAAUUGUACCUUGAAAUCAGUUGAAAUUGUCUACUUGCUUCUAAAGUUUUUUUUUUCCCCGUAACUAGCUGCACUUUUUUGUUUGGCAAAGCCCAAAAGAAAAUGAAAAGGAAAUCACGGACACAUGUAAUGUUUAUUUCGUAUAAUUUUUUCUUUCUUUGUUGUUUGAUUGUAAUAAUGAUUAAUGAUUUUUGAAAUCGGGUGGCUUGUUUGCAGGAAACCGAGUUAAGCUGCUGAAAUAUUUUGAGAAAUAUAAUAAAUUUUAAUUUAUUAGACUUGCUCUAUGCUGGCUCUAUUUCUAAGCUUCUGCAUUUUGUUACUGUUCCUUCUCUGCAAAGUAUAGUUUUAAUUCUUGUACAGCAGCAUUAGCUUUUUCUCUGCUAAUAUCUAGUGUCUUUGUGCUUUCUUCACAAAUUAAGCUUUUGAACUAUAACAUUUCCUAUUAUGCAGCAUUAGAGCACUAGUUGGCAAGUGAUCGAUAGUGAUUUUGUUGAUACCUUAAAGUUGGAAUGAUUAUGUUAUUAAAUUCUAAUUUGUACAUGAAUAGAACCUAGGCUAAUCAAAGAACGUUAGUUCUUCUUGUCUGUUUUUUAUUUUACUAAAAUGCUGUUAUAUAUAUAGAUUGAUAAAUUGCUGUUCCUUUCACUUGCAUAUGAAUUUAUCCUUUCGUUAUGAUUUUCAAAGGUUUGUUAAGUUCAUUUACAUGUGGAUUUUAUGGUAGAUUUUGUUAAGAUAAUCAUGUACAUUUCUCUUUUGGUAUUAAUUGUGGUAUGCUUGCUAUGUCUUAUUUAUUCGUGGCAGGUUGUGACCAUUUUGAAGAGUAACAGGUCACUCUACAUAUAAGUCUUCUGAAUUUAAAGUAUGGUAGGAAAAAGACAGUCUCCCAGCAUUUCUCUAUUUGAAUUUUCUUUUUAGUCCAGUGCUUCUAGCAAUUUUUAUAAUAAUGCCUUUCCAUUGAGUAAUUUCUGUCAUUGGCAAUGGUUUUACUGCUUAUGCUUCAUUAUUUUCUCCUGGAUACUUAAAGUUAUCUUGUUAUAUGAUUGGGAAAAGUAUAAAUUCAAAAGUUAUGAUAGAAUUCUUUUGCAAGUUUCAUUAAUGCAUAGAGUCCUUUAUAUAUUACACAACUAAGAAAUAUAACCGCGCUUCGCACGGCUUUGAAAAAAAAUUUAGUAUUUAUCCUUUUUUCAAACAUCUCUCCCAACUUUCCCCAUAAAGUAAUUUUUGUUGUCACCGUGCUAUCCAUAAAAAUUAACAAAAGUUAAUAAUGUAAAAAGAAAAACUCAUUAUAAAGAUAUCGUAUUAUCAUUAAAUUCGAAAGUCUCAAAUUAUAUUACUAUAUAGUUGGUUACUUUUUUUUAUUCCAAAUCACCAAUAUUUUUAUUCCUUGUUUCAACUUGAAUAUUACCACUUGACUUUUUUAUUUGUGUUUAUGAAGAGGUGGGUGUGAGGAAAAAAAAAUGUUUUUCUUAAGAAUUAGAACAAAUAAUUAGGCAAUAAUUCAAGGAAUUGAGGUUGUUCAUUCUACAUUCUAAUUGGAUUUAGAGUGAUUUUCAUUAAUUUUUUCUUUUACAUUAAUUAUUUUAACCGCCAAGUACUGUUGUUUAUUCUACUGCGUUUGUGAGAAGAUGCUUAGUCUACCUAGAACAUAUUUUCUAAUUAAUUUUUCUUGUGAAUACUUUGAAUAAUCUCUAAGGGCUAUACCCUUUUUCGUUGUACUUUUAAUGGUUUUUCUUCAACCAAUAUUGGAUGUAUUCAUUGAAAAAGAAAAUUAAAAAUUAGGUAAUAAUUAAUAAGAUUAAUGAAGUCAAACUGUUUGUCAAUUCUUAUGAUAAAACAAUAAUUAAAAAAAAAAGUUAUAGUUUUCUUGAUUAUAUUUAACUUAUUAAUCUGACAGAACUUUUAUAUAUCUUUUCUUCCAACCACAACUCCAACGAUUUCAAUAUCACUCACCAUAUAAAUUUCUGACAACAUCUGUAAUAUCAUGGAAAAAUAACAUAAACAUGUUAAAAUAUAAGGAUCAAUAAUUUCUAAUAUGCACUUAAAGAUUAACAAAUAUUAAUAAUUAAAAUAAAUAAAUGAAAUGAUUGUGUUAUCAUUCAGACGUAAAUCAAUAAAAUUCGGAGAUACAAAUUAGAAUUCAUUGAUUGAAAUCUUAUUAGUUUUUUCUUCUAAUUUCUUAAGCGAAGUUAUAACUAAGAAAAUAAUUUUAUACUAAAUUGAAAGUGGUUUGCACUCGCCUAAUGUUGAAAUAUUUUUUUAAUUUUUGACACUAUACAAAGAAUUCUCACUCAACAUGUGCCUAAAUUUUGUCACUAAUUUUUUCUUAACUGUUGCAUGCAUUAGAUUUUCCUAUGAAAAAAAAAAUGCUACAUUAAGUGUAAAACAAUUGGCAAAAAAAAAAAAAAUAGAGAAAACAAUGGGAGAAUGAAUUUUUUAUACAUCUUUUUCAUUAAUAAAAAUUAUGUCUACACUAAUUAAUUCUCUAUUCUUCUUGGGAUUAAUAAACUUUCACAUCCUACAAAACAUAACUCUUAUGAUCCAACUAUCUCCAUCAUUGUUCAACUCACGAAGUAAAUAGUACUUCAUGAAGCAUACAAUACUAAAAAUUCAAUGAAGUCAAACAAUCAAAACACAAGAAUCCUUCUAAAGAGUGUUAGCAUAUACGACUGUAAAAUAUUAAUUUUGAUGAUAACAAAUUACAUGUUUUGGAUAAAUAAAGAAUUACACAUUAUGUUUUUAUAACAAGAAAAUAAUUUUAUAAAUUAGUUAUUUUUCAAGUUGUGGACUAAAAUGAAAUUUUUUUAUCAUUUUUUAUUUUAAUAGGUAUUGUUUUGAAUUUUAAAUUUGGACCUAUUUAUAAAUAUUUGAAACAAUUUGGUCAUAUUAUAAUUUUUACAAAUUUGGGUUUUAUCAUAAUUUUAGCAAGUUUUGGGAAUGACAAGCAUUAUUUAGAAAUUUAGAAAUUAGAUCUUUUUAUAAAGGUUUAUGACGUUUUAGGCUAUAAUAUAAUUUUAUAAAGGUUUGGGGUAAAACUAUAAUUUUAAAAAAUAGUUGUUUCAUUAUAGUAAAGCGGGUAACCAGAUUCAGAAAGCAGCAAACUGGUUAUGGACAGAAACUAUUGAAUGAAAGCGAUUAACUAGAUUUAGAAAGCAGCAAACCGGAUGUGCAAAAAUUUAAAUUUUUUAACAUAAUGGUAACAUAAAGCGGCAAAUUAGUUAUCACCAUAAAGUCAAUAACAGCUAAUUUUCUUUAAUUAUAAAUUGGCUCAAAUGAAAUUCAAUCUAUGUGAUACAACUAUUGUUAUUAUUGAGCAUUUCUCUGCAAGUUUAAAGUAUAAAUUUUGUGUAUUCAUUUCAUUUGGUAAGGGGAAAAUUUGUUAUUUAUGAGAAAUAUUCAUAUGCAUUUAUGCAGGAGGAGUCUUUUAAUAACAAACAAAUUUCCCCCUUUCAUUUGUUCUAAUACUAAAUGAAAUGUAAGUUACGCAAUCCAAGAGAGGGGUGAAUUAUGAUUUUAAAACUUAAGCUAAGCAAACCAUAUAAUAAUUCAAUUUAAUGUCUUAAUAGAAUUGAAAACAAUAAAUUUAAUAAAUCAAAAUAAUAAAAGAGUAAGGGAAGAUAAAACAAACACAAGGAUUUUUAUGUGGUUCGGCAAUCCUCGCAUACAUCCACGCCUCAAGCAUACGGGACUUGAGGAUUUCAUUAUCCAAGCCUCACAAGGCUUCAAACGCUGACAAUUGGCUUCCAAGGUGUUAAUGGAUCUCUACAACAAGAGAUUAUCUUCAAUCUCUUAACCUAAGUGUAUCUUAACACUUACAAUCUCUCAAUUUGCUAUUACAAAAAAGAUUACAAAAAUUUCUCUCAUGCAAUGUGUUUUAAUACAAAUGAAAGUCCAAUAUAUGUGAAUAAAUGAAAUGAAUACACAGUUUUUGUUUUAGACUUGCAGAGAAAUGCUCAAUAAUAACAAUGUUUACAUUGCUUUGAUUGAAUUUGAUGAGUUAAUUUAUAGUUGAAGAAGAAAACUAAAUGCUCAAUAAUAACAAUGUUUGCAUCGCUUCGAUUGAACUUGAUUUGAGUUAAUUUAUAGUUGAAGAAGAAAACUAGCCGUUAUUGACUUUCUGGUGAUAACUGGCUUGCCGCUUUAUGUUACGAUUAUGUUAAAAAUUUUGAAUUUUUGCACAUCCAGCUUGCCGCUUUUUGAAUUCGGUUAGCCGUUUAGCUACAGUCAAAUAAUUAUUUUCUAAAAUUAUAGUUUUAUCACAAACCUUUAUAAAAUUAUACUAUGGCUCAAAAUAUCAUAAACCUUUGCAAUAAGGUCCAAUUUCAGAAUUUCUAAAUAAUGCUUGUUGUUCCCAAAACUUACUGAAAUUAUAGUAUGGCCCAAAACGUUUCAAAUAUUUACAAAUAAAUCUAAAUUCAAAAUUCAAAACAAUACAUAUUAAAACCAAAGAUGAUAAAAAAAUUUCAGUUUUUAGUCCACAUCUUGAAAAAUAACAAAUUUCAUAAAAUCAUUUUCUUGUUAUAAAAGCAUAAUGUAUAAUUUUUUGUUUAUCUAAAAUAUGUGUUUUGUUAUCAUCAAACAGCAUAGGAUAACAAUCUCUCCCUUUUUUGAUGAGGACAAAACACAUUAUAAAGAUUUGAUUUAGUUAUGAAAAACUCCCUCUUAAUCAAUGUAAGAUUAAAAAUUAAUUUAAAAAUGAUUUAAAAGACUCCUCCUGCAUAAAUGUAUAUAAAUAUUUUUUUAUAACAAAUAAAUUUUUCCCUUACAUAUUAUAUCUCCCCCUUCAUCAUCAAAAAUAGUAAAAAAGCUUCUCCUAUUAAUCAUCAAAAUCUCAAGACAAGCACAUUAGUUUCACAUUAUCCAAAACAUAAGUGAAAAACAUAACUAACAAUCAUAUCAAAUUCACAUAAUCCAAAAUAGAUACAUAAUCCAAAAACAUAACAAACAUCCAUAUAAUCUAAAUGGAGAAUUAAAGAACAUAAAAUAAUAAAUGUUGGUGUGUCUAAAUAUAAGCAUAAGAGACUACUGAGGUGCUAACAUAUAUAGAAUGUCAAAGUGCUCAAAGAAGAGGCAUUGUUCGUGAAUGAGCUGCUGAUGCUGCUAUGAGAGGCGCUGGUGCUCUUCAAGAAUGUGCUACUGAAAAUCGGUCUGCUGCACAAAAAGUGUCCUCAUCUCAUCCAUAAGCUGCUGAAGAGUAAUCUCGUCAGAGGCAUGAGGCUCUGGAGGUGGUAAAACAUAUGCAAAGACAUCAGGAGCAGAGGCAAGCACAGAAAGUGUCUUCACCUCAUCCAUAAGCUGCUGAAGAGUAAUCUCGUCAGAGGCAGGAGGCUCUAGAGGUGGUAAAGCAUAUGCAAAGACAUUAGGAGCAAAGACAGACACUGGAAAGACUCAACGUCUACGCUGACCCCGAAAUGGAAGCGAAAAAUAAGGAAGUUGAUCAGUAGGAACCACAUCAUUGAGUGACCGAUCAUCACUUGGAGCAAGAAAAAUGUACUUAUUGUCAGUGAAUUUUACCCAAGCUUCAUUACGCCACUCAAAUCUUAAGGCACAUAUAGUUUCAUCAUCGAUACUCUUAGAAGGUUUACAAGAUGGUUCAUUGAUAGGUACUUUAAAAUGUCUAAGGAUCCGAGUGAUAAAAUGAUCAUAUAGAAGAGAACGGGUAAUCAAUUUAGGUAUAGAAAGCAUGGUUCGGAUAAUGGUGUACCCCAAGUUAACGGGACGAUGUCUAAGGUUGGAAUUAAUCAAAGCAACAUCCAUGUGAGAAACCUCAUCCAAAUGCCCUGACCUAGGAAGCACAAUGAUCUGAAUAAAACNNNNNNNNNNNNNNNNNNNNNNNNNNNNNNNNNNNNNNNNNNNNNNNNNNNNNNNNNNNNNNNNNNNNNNNNNNNNNNNNNNNNNNNNNNNNNNNNNNNNUGCUCGGAAGUAAAAUACUUUCACCACAGUCGGGAUACACACUUCUCCUCAAUCACAAGAGCAUUAAUCCAACCAAUUUCUUUCAACAAUUGAAACAAAUUUCUAUUUUUAAAAUGGAGACUACGAAGCUAAUUCGGUAAAACAAAAAAUGUAGAGAGUACCUCGCGGGUCAUGAAAUUUUGGUGAAAUCGCUAAACUAAACGCUUGUUUGGAAAGUGCUUGGAUUCAAAGUUGGACUGAUUUGAAAUGUCCCUUGCCUGCCUGCUUGCCAUGGCCGUUUUGCUUAUUAAACAUAUUCUUUCCCUUUUCCUCUAAUCGGCCUUGAAUUAUACAUGAUAAUGUUGAGUGAUUUGAAGAUAAAUGAAGUAAUAAAAAAAAUAAUGAGGUAGAAACGAGAUAUUGAUAUUCAAUUUAGGUGGAAGAUGACUUAAGAAGAAGAAAUUUAAAGAGAGAAAGUUCGGUUGAAAACUUAGGUUAGAAAUAGGAUCUUGUAAGUUUGAUGAUGAGAAUGGAUUUUGAAGAUGAUUUUGAGCACAAGGAAUGGUGGGGAAUGAUUUUUGUGAAUUAAUUUGGUGCAAAAGUGAAUAAAGAUGAUGAAUUUUAGAGUGAGAGUGAGAGAGGAAGGAAAUGGUUUUAGAGAGAGUGAGAACCGGUUUGCCGAAUAGAUAGAAGAAGAUAAAAAGCCUGAAUUCGGCUUAUCGGAUUGCACUAACUGGCUAACCGGUUUGUGUCUAGAAAGUGAAAAUUUGAAAACGGUUUAUUGGUUUCCCUAUCCGACUGAUCGAUUAUUUCCAGUGAAUGCCAAAGGAAAAUCCGGCUUAUCGGUUUGCAAUAUCCGGCUGACCGAUUAUGAUCCAAUGAAUGCCAACGCAAAUUCAACUUAUCGUUUCAAAGAAACUGGCUGACCGGUUCUGGUCCAGAGAGAAAAAUUAAGAAACGAUUUACCGAUUUUCCUAAUCGGCCAUCCGGAUUGUGGCCCGAGAGUAACCUUUAAGAAAACGGGUUACGAAUUUUCUAUAUCCGGCUAUCCAGAUUUGGUCCAGUGAGUAACAAUAAGAAAAACGACUUUCCGGUUGAUUAGAAGCGGCAUGCUGGUUUAUCCUUAGAAAUUAUUUUUGGAAAUCUUCAAAAUUAAAUUCAUGCUUGCAUGUCCUAGUUUUUUUUGUCAUAGCCAACCAUCAUUAUAUAAUGCCGAAAAAUAUUUAUCAUGAGUAUGUGCAAAUUCUAUGUUAAUGGUAUAAACAUUACCAAAUUUUGCCAUCAUAUGCAUUUUUAAUAAUACAUUUAGAUUUAAGGUAAAUUGAACAUCAAUAUCUCGUUUCUACCUCAUUAUCUUUUCUUUUAUUACUUCAUUUAUCUUCAAACCACUCAACAUUAUCAUGUAUAGUUCAAGGCCGGUUAAAGGAAAAGGGAAAGAACAUGUUUAACAAGCAAAACGGCCAUGGCAGGCAUGCAGGGGACACUUUAAAUCAGUCCAACUUUGAAUCCAAAUACUUUCCGAACAAGCACUCAGUCAAGCGAUUUCACCAAAAUUUCAUGAACCGUGAGGUACUAUCUACAUUUUUUGUUUUACCGGAUUGUCUUCGUAGUCUCAGUAUUAGUAAUAGAAAUUUGUUUCAAUUGUUAGAAGAAGUUGGUUGGAUUAAUGCUCUUGUGAUUGAGGAGCAUGUGUAUCCCGACUUAGUGAAAGUAUUUCACUCGAAUAUGGAUAUUUUCGAGGAAUUUUGAUUGAUUUUGAUGUUUUAGAAUUAAAUUCUAUUCUAGGAACCUCCGAUUUUGGCUUAGAAAUAUUUUCUGCUAGGAAAUCUCCCGAUAUUGGUCAUUAUGCUCAUGUUCACACCGUUAGAAAUAUAUGCCGGCGCAUUGAUCUUUCUGAUGAAAUUUGUAACAUUCAUUUCCGCACUCAAUAUCUGUGUCUCCAAACUCGAAAUUUACUUCGUUUUAUUCAAACCAUUAUGCUUACUAGGUCAAUGUAUUUGGAUGAGGUUUCCCACAUGUAUGUUGCUUUGAUUGAUUCCAUCUUUAAACAUCGUCCCAUUAACUUGGGGUACACCAUUAUCUGAACCAUGCUUUCUAUACCUAAAUUGAUUAUCUGUUCUCUUCUAUAUGGUCAUUUUAUCACCCGGAUCCUUAAACAUUUUUGGGUACCUAUCAAUGAACCAUCUUUUAAAGAUUCUAAGAGUAUCGGGGAUGAAGCUAUAUGUGCGUUAGGAUUUGAGUGGCGUAAUGGAGCUUGGGUGAAAUUCACUGACAAUAAGUACAUUUUUCUUGCUCCAAGUGAUGAUUGGCCACUCAAUGAUGUGGUUCCUGCUGAUCCACUUUCUGAUUUUUCGCUUUCAUUUCGGGGUCAGCGUAUACGUCGAGUCCCUCCAGUGUCUGCCUCUGCUCCUGAUGUCUCUGCAUGUGCUUUACCACGUUCAAAGCCCCCUGCCUCUGACGAGAUUACUCUUCAACAGGUUAUAAAUGAGGUGAGGAUACUUUCUGUGCAGCAGAUCGAUUUUCAGUAGCACAUUCUUGAGGAGCACCAACGCCUCUCACAACAGCAUCAACAGCUCAUUCAUGGACAGCACCUCCUCUUUGAGCACUUUGGCAUUCCAUAUAAAUUUCUACCUCAGUGGUCUCUUAUGUUUAUAUUUGGACACACCAACAUUUACUGCUUUAUGUUCUUUUAUUCUCCAUUUAAAUUAUAUGGAUGUUUGUUAUGUUUUUGGAUUAUGUGAAUUUGAUAUGAUUAUGGAUGUUUGUUAUGUUUUUGGAUUAUGUGAAUUUGAUAUGAUUGUUGGUUAUGUUUUUCACUUAUGUUUUAGAUAAUGUGGAACUAAUGUUCUUGUCUUGAGAUUUUGAUGAUUAAUAGGGGAGUUUUUUUUACUUUUUUUUAUGAUGAAGGGAGAGAUAUGUAUAUAAGGGGGAAAUUUGUUUGUUAUAAAAAACAUUCAUAUGCAUUUAUGCAGGGGAGUCUUUUAAAUCAUUUUCAAAUUAGUUUUUAAUCUUGCAUUGAUUAAAGGGGAGUUUUUCAUAACUAAAUCAAAUCUUUAUAAUGUGUUUUGUUAUCAUAAAAAAUGGAUAGAUUGUUAGCCUAUGUAGUUUGAUGAUAACAAAUCAUAUGUUUUGGAUUAAAAAAAAAAGAAUUACACAUUAUGUUUUUAUAACAAAAAAAUAAUUAUAUGAAAUUAGUAAUUUUUUAAGAUUUGGACUAAAAUGAAAAAGUUUUUAUCAUCUUUGAUUUUAAUAAGUAUUGUUUUGAAUUUUGAAUUUAGACUUAUUUAUAAAUAUUUGAAACGUAAUUAUUUUUUAAUCUCAAUCAAUAUAUUAGAUAACAGAGAAUAUAAAAAAAUGAGGAAUAGUGAUGCUACAUUAGCUCUUUUAGUCUCAACUUUAUAUAAAUAUAUAGAUUUUGGAAAUAGUUUGAUCUCUUUUUCUAUUGGUCUCUAUAGAUUCUUAUUCACCACUACAAUUUCUAUUGCUGAUUUUGCCUUUCGAUUAGUUGCUUGUUUUAAAUUAUUUUUCAUUUUCAAUGAAUUUUGGCCUUGCUUGUGCAGGAGUUGGCAUUGUGAUAAAUUGAGGUUUAUCAUGGAUUGAAAAAUUGGAUUUGGUUAGAGUUUAUGCUGAUAUUAUGUGCAAUUACCAUUGAUAGAACAAGAGAUCAAUAUAAGAAUAACUAUUUUGGGUUAUUAAAUUCUUGUACAUUAUACUUAAGAAUAUUGUAUUGACAAUUGCAUAAGGAUAUUCAUGGAUUCUUUCAUAUUAAUAUAUUAUUAAUUUUUGUUUAUUUUAAUAGUAUCAAGAACUUAUAAUUAAAAUGUAUAUAUAACUUUUUUUUUUCAUAAUUGUUAUUCGCAACUUGCAUCUACAUGUUGAAAAAUAUACAAAUAAAAUAAGGUUUUAACCACAUUUAUUGAGUGUGGUUAGAUAUAGUUUAAAAAACCAUAGAAUAUUGUUAAAAAUAUUCAAGUUUAGACAGCAUCAACAUUCACAGCGCGUGGUUGAACGUUGUUAAAGGUGUUUAACAAUGUACAAUACAUGUUAAAUCCCUUUUUUUUUUCUUGUAGUGAAGGGCUAAUGAAAUUAUGUUGUGUAAAUUGUGUUACAAUACAUAUUUUGUUAUUUUGUUUAAUUUUCUUUUACUGCCAUAAUUCAAUCAACCAUAUUAGUAUGUCUCUGUGUUUAUACCUUUUUCGUUCCUACCGCGUUUGUUUGAGAGAUCAAAUAUUUGAAAGUAAAUAAAAGGGUUCAUGCAUGCAUGGAUUAUAGAGUACUUAAAAGAAAAUUAUUAGCGCCUAAUUGUUUAUCUGGAGGGAACUAAUUCUAACAACAAUCUACAUAAAAUAGGGAGCAUACAUGGUACAUAAAAUAUAGACCAUAUUCUAUCACUAAAUUUGUAUUAAUGUAGAUUUAAUUUGACUAUUUUACUCUUAUAACAUAAAAUGAUCAAAUUAAAAAAAAAAAGAUGGCUUAUUAUUAUAAUAAUUAAUUUAGGAAUUUUAUUUGUGAAAAGAGUCUUGGGUGUUCUAGUAUUGUACCAAAGACUCUCUCACUUUAUGACCUAUAACCUUGUAUGCUGUGUAAAUGAUAGAAGUUUGACAAUUUGAUAAAUUUCAUGAGAUUGAUAUUAUAUCCCAAUGACAUUUUGUUAGAUUCAUUAAAAAUUAAUAUUCAUACUAAUAAUGUAUUAAUUACCAAUAAAUCAUUUAGAAACGUUUUGGUGUAAAGUUAGAAUAAAAAAUUAUUGACUUUAAAAUAACUUUUUUUUGGGGCAUUUCCAUAGUUUUGCCUUAAAAUGUUAAAAUAAAAAUAUAUUAGUGUUAUAAUAUUCAUGCAAUCUUAGUUUAAACAUGGUAAAGAGAUUUGAAUUAAAAAAAAAGAAUAAUAUAAUUAAUUAAUUGUAUAAAUUAAUAAUUACAAAAAUGAGCUUAAAGCUUCAAAAUAUUGAUUAAGGAUCUUCUCAUGAUAGCUAAUCUGAAAUUUACAUUUUUAACCAUGCAUGGUCAUUAUUACUUAUUUAUUAUGGGGUUUUAAAUAAUUAUGGUGAGUUUAUUUUAAAAUUAUUAUUAACAUAGGAAAUUGGUUUUAAAGAUAUCAUUUUAGAUAAACUAAUUAACACUUGUUAGUUGUUAUUUUCAACAAUCUAUAUAAUUUUUGCAUGUUUUUUAAUCAUAUAAUAUUAAUGUAAAAUGAUCGCCCAAUUGAUGGCCUCUUAUAGUGCAGUAAUAAAGCAGCUAGCUGUGUUGAAACAGAAUGCAUGUAAAAACAAAACGGCAAGCCGUUAAAAGAAAACGGCUUGUUGUUUUCGAAUAGAAGGCAGAUGAAAAGGAACGGCUAGCCUCUUCAUCAUAAAUGGCUAGCGGUUAUCAAACAGAAACCAAAAUUUACGAAAACGACUAGCUAUUUGUGGUAAACGAUUGGACGUUUUCUCGACAAAAGGAUACAUUUAACGUUUAUUCUUCGUCCUUCAUUAUGCAAAUAAUGAGCCAAUAAAUAAAAAACACCUACCACUAAUCUUGAUACCUAAAUCGAUAAACUUGAAACUUAGGGCAAUGAACACCAAACUUGGGAUCAUUAACUUGCAACCCUAAAAAUCAUACAAAUAAUGGAUCAAUAAAUAUGAACCAUCCACCAUUAACCAUUAACUUGAUACCUGAAACAUUAAACUUGAAACCAAAAGAACUUGAAUCAUAGGGUAAUAAACACGAAACUUAAAAUCAUUAACUUGCAAUUAUGAAAAUCAUGUAAUUAAUUGACCAAUUAACAAUAAACACAUACCAUUAACUAGAUACCGAGACUAUUAAGCCUGAAAUUAAAGGAACUUGAAACGUAGGGCAAUAAAUAUGAAACUUGUGAUUAUUAACUUGUGACCAUGAAAAUCAUGCGAUUGAUGGACCAAUAAACAUGAGACACCCACCAUUUACUUGAUACCUAAACCAUUAAACUUAAAAUUAAAGGAACUUGAAAGUUAGGGUAAUAAACAUGAAACUUGAGAUCAUUAACUUACAACCAUAAAAAUCAUGCAAUUAAUGGACCAAUAAAUAUGAAACACUUACCAUUAACUUAAUAUUGAGACCAUUAAACUUGAAACCAAAAGAAACUUGAAAUUUAGGACAAUGAACAUGAAAUUUGAUAUCAUUAAUUUGCAAUCAUGAAAAUCAUGCAAUUAAUGGACCAACAAACAUGAAGCACCUACCAUUAAUUUGAUACUAAAACCAUUAAACUUGAAACCAAAAGAACUUAAAACUUAGGGCAACGCAAAUGAAACUUGUGAUCAUUAACUUGCAACCAUGAAAAUCAUGCAAUUAAUGGACUAAUAAAUGUGAAACACCAAACAUUUACUUGAUAUAGAGACCGUUAAACUUGAAACCAAAUGAAUUUGAAACUUAAGGUAAUAAACAUGAAACUUAUGAUCAUUAACUUGCAACCAUGAAAAUCAUACAAUUAAUGGACUAAUAAAUAUAAAACACCCAUCAUUAACUUGAUACUUGGAUAAUUAAACUUGAAACCAAAGGAACUCGAAUCAAGGGCAAUAAACACGAAACUUAAGAUUGCAAUACUCUUCUUAUUGGCACACACAUACAGAACACUCACUCCACACUAGAGCUGGCAAAACGGGUCAUCGGGUCGUGUUCGUGUCGUGUCAGCUUCGUGUCGUGUCAAAUUUAGGUCGACCCAAACCCGACCUAUUUAAUAAUCGUGUCAAAAUAUUGAGACCCAAACCCGACACGGAAAAAUAAUCGGGUUACCCAAUAACCCGUUUAAUAUCUAUAUAUUGAAUAAAAGUUACAUCAAAUAUUUACAUACUAUCAUACAUACGUAUGUACAUACAUACAUACAUACAUAAUUUAUCGAUAUUAUAAAAUAUACAUAUAUACCAAUAUAUUACACAUUUACACUAUUGAGGUUUUAAUUAUAUAUAUAUAAUAUUAUAUAUCAAUAUUAUAAAAUAUACAUGUCUAUCAAUUUUUACACAUUUACACUAUUGAAGCUCUAAAUGUAUUUAAAAUUUUAUAAAUAAAACACUGUGUUUAUAUUCACCAUUUUAAAGAAUAAAAAAAAGAAAAUCAUCUCUAAUAUUUGAGUUUUAAUGAUAAAAAUAUGUAAAUUAUUUUAAAAUAGAAAAUAUAAUCGGGUCAUUGAUCGGGUAAAUGGGUCAAGAAUUUUAACCCAAACCCGACACGGAAAAAAAUCGUGUUGACCCGGACCCGACCCAUUUAAUAAUCGUGUUAAAUUUGACAACUCAUACCCAUUUAUUUAUGUCGUGUUCGUGUCGGGUAAUCGGGUCGUGUCAAAUUUUGCCAGCUCUACUCCACACACACAGACCAGAGACGACAGUAGCUGCCAGCUUGCUCCACCUCGACCGACAGCCACCAAACUCGUUCAAACUGCCAGCUUGCCCCACCUCAAUCGACAGCUUGCCAACUUACUUCAUGGUGUAUUUGCGUCUUGUUUCUUGACGAAAUGGGUCGAUUUGCUUGCUUUGUCUUGCUCUAUCUACGAUCUAUUGAUUUAUUGGGUUUUAUUUUAUUCAAAAAAUCAAAAUCUGAUUUUGCUGACAAAAAGUCAGAAAGGGAGAGAAUUUUCAAACUUGGGCAAUGCAGAUCAAGAGAAGUCAAAGAAAAAGAUCUGUGAUUAAUGGAAAUGGGGCUACUCCAAUUUCGAUUUCAAUAUCAAUAUCAAUUGUCCCCUGUGAAGAUAUGAUUUAUUAUCAUUACUCUUCUUACUAUUUUGAAUAUAAACUGAUUUGUUCUUAAAAAAAUAAAAAAUCAUCUGACUCGAAUGCUAUUUCAACCCGAACCUAUUUGAAUUCAAUUCGAACUUAUAAUCCGAUUCGAAUGAUUUUUUUCUUUUUUGAGAACAGAUCAGUUGAUAUUCAAAAUAAUAAAAGUAACGAUAAGAAAUCAUAUCUUAACAAGAGAAUCUGGAUUGAAUUUGGAUGAUUAUUCUUCCAAGCCAACUAAUCCGAAAUCUGAUUGGGUUUAUCCGAACCCGAUCCGAAUCCGAAUUUGCUCACCCUUAAUUAGUCAAAGAAUUGCUCUGUCUUUUUUAUUAUUAUUUGCAUGUAUCACGUACAUGCAGGUAUUGUAGUUGUGACCCUCUAGCAUAUGCUAAAAUUUUAGUAGGCUAUCUCAAAAUUUCAACAUGCUGAAAUGAUGGGGACAAUUCCACACAAAUUGGAUUUAGUAAUUAAUUAUAGAUGUGGCAUUUGUUUACCAAUUUAAGAUAUACUUCCGUCAUGCAUGCAUUAUCAAUGCUUUUUAAUUUGCCUCAUCAAUGACGAUCAUGGAUAAAUUAAUCAACGUACAUUUGCCUUUUGAGCAUGUAUUGGAAAAUAAAUGUUGAACAAUGUAACCUGAAUAGUGCCAAAUUAAUGCGGAGACACUUCCAUAAGUAACUUGGCCAUAUGCAAACUAACCCGUUUCUCAAGCAUAAUAUCAUUAUCAUUGCCAAUUUACUUGACCAAUAUACAAUAGCUGACCGUUAAUCCUCGCAUGAGUUUGGUUGACUUCUUUUUUCAUGCAAUAUGAACGCAAAGCAAAGUCAUGGUCAAAACAUGAGCAUGCCUCCAAUUUGUCAAAGCUAAAUUGCUGGCUUUAUUGGUUUGUUUUUCGGUGUUGUUUUUCAAAGAAAUAAUGAUAUUUUUCAGGCUUAGAAAGGCUAUAAAUUGAAAGAUUAUUUGAUGAGGUAGAUGCAAUGAGAUUGACAUUGCCAAAAGAUAUUGAGUUGAUUCACUGUUUUUUUUUUUUAAUUCAGUUUGUGUUUUUGAGAGUUAUAUUUGAUUGAUUGUGUUUAUCGACAUUCAUUAAUUAAAGAGUUAAAAAUAGGUCUUGGGAUGGAUUGAUUAGAUCAGAUUGACAGAUCUUAAUCAUAAUAAGAAGUGCUACGAUGGUUUUCUCAAUUUCAUAUACUCAUAGAUAUAGGUUUUAAUCUAAUAUGACAUAAUAUGAUUGAAUACAUAAAAAAAUAAAAAUAAAUUAUGUGCGUCGGAAAUAUAUAGAGAUGGGUCUCUAAGCCCAUGUAGUUUCUUACGAUCUGGAAGAUUUGAUAUGACCACUGGAACCUCCUUGAACUUGUUAGCCCAUGCAUGCAAUCAGUGAUGGGUUCCCACACUUUCCCACGUAGCCUUGCCUUAGUAACAUCAAUCUUUUCAACGUGACCCCCAUCUUAUUAUACUAACUUUUUAGCAUCUCCCCGAAGAUUUUCUUAUGCCCCAGGCCUUACUCUUCUAAGACUUUCAGAAGUUCGCUUAAGUUCCUUUGAUGCCUUCUUUUGCUCUUCAUUCAUUUUUUGGAACUGUGGUGAGGCUAUUUAAUAAUUAAUCAUGAUUAACUGCCAAAUAGCUUCAUUUCAGUUUCAUCCCUAUAGAAAUUAAUAUAUAUCAUUUACCUCUCCUAUUAUUUUUAUAAUACCCAAUAACUCUAUUAAAACCAUUUUUUAGAACUGUGGUGAGGCUAUUUAAUAAUUAAUCAUGAUUAACUACCAAAUAGCUUCAUUUUAGUUUCAUCCCUAUAGAAAUUAAUAUAUAUCACUUACCUCUCCUACUAUUUUCAUAAUACCCAAUAACUCUAUUAAAACCAUUUUUAUAAUAUAACUUUUAUUUUUAAAUAUAUUUUUAUUUAUAUUUAUUAUAAAUUAAGUAAAUCAUCUAAAUUAAAAUUAAAAUAAAAAAUUAAAAUACUAAAAAUAAGAAAUAUAAGUUUAUGUAUGAAUAAAAAAAUUUAUAAUGAGAAAAUUUCUUGUAGGUUUUGUUAUUUUUAAACAAUUUUUUUUUCUUAUAAUAAAUAUAUAUUUUAUGCUCCUAAGAUCAAAUAUUAAAUGAGUGAUCUAUUCUUUCUUAUAAAGUAGGGAUAAGUGGUAUAUACUAAAUUUAGUAGUAAGAAGAUUGAUGUAGAAAACAUAUUAGAUAAAAUAAAUUAGAAUUGACUAGGAAUUAUAAUAUUUGGGUCAAUUUACUAUUUAGUAUUUUAUUAGAAUUUAUCUUGUUUUAUUUAGCCUAUUUCAGUCAUAUUUGUAAUUAUAGUCUAAUUAGGAUUUUAGAUUAUUUCUCUUAUUUGAGAAAGAUUAAGAUUAAGAUAGCUACUAUUACAUAUAGGCUUGUUAUUCAUAGUUUAUGGCAACACGCAAGCUUCUCAUUAAUAAUAUUCAGUGUUUCUCAAUUGAGAUAUUUUCUCCAUUGCGAGAGCCUUCUUUCUUGAGUUUUCAAGAUGUACGCUAGAACAAAAUCUAGUAUCGCUUCUGUUCUGCGUUAGAAAUUGACGAUCUCUUAAUCUUUCUUUAACAAGUUGAGUAAAGAAUCUGAAUCCUUUCAAUAAUAGACGAUUUUGAAGAGUUUUAAAAUUUAAGAAGAGGAGAAAAUAAUUAUUUUACUGAAACAACAAGAGGUUUUUCAUCAUUUUUCACAAAUCAUUUUAUGAUAUCUGUUUUUUAAAGUUACCUUAUCUGCUCAAAAGAACCAAGCCAAAACUGAGAUGUGGCUCACCCAUAAUUAGCAUCGGUUGGCAGCAAUGGAUUUUCAGACCAUGUUUCUUUGAUCUAUUCAAGGAUUAUAAGUGAUUCACAAAGUGAAGUUUUCACCAUGAACAAGUAGAGGAUAAGGAGAGAGAGUGUUGUUGGAUGAAGAUUUGCUGUAGCUAGUUCAAGAAAGAUGAGGGGGAGAGAGAGUAGUUGAUGAAGAGAUAAGGAAGAGGAUUUAGGUCACAAGCUUGUGUGGUUUUAUUUUUUAAUUUAUUUUUGGGUUUAGUUUUGUAAUAUUUUGAGAACAUGUUUAACAUGUUUUCACUUUAUUAGUUAUAAAAGUGGAUAUGGAUUUCUUAUUUUGUAAUUUAUUUUUUGAGUUCAGCCUACCAAACAUGUAUUAUAUAUGUACUCUAAAAAUAAAAAUGAAAACAAUAGCUGAAAAGUGGUACCGAACAAGCCCUAAAUUUUUUUAAAAGGACAAAAUUUAAUUUUUGAUGUUGUCUCAUAUCUCCUUUCUUCUUCCUCUCUCUCUUUGCCCCUCACUCCCUCCCUCUUUGAGUUUUCAAUUUUUACGUUAACUCAAUUCAUUUGUGUUUUUUUUUUGUUUCCUCUCCUUAAAAAAAAUAAAAUAAUUUGAAUGGAGAUAAUUUGUUGUUACUUAAUAUUAUCUAUUGGUGUAAUAAUAUCACCACGUGGAAUUUGCUUUUACAUUAGCUUUAUCAUUACUCUUAUUAAACCUCAAAUUUAAGAUGGAUAGACCAAGUAUAUAUAAGAAGAAUAAAGCUCUGUUUAGUAUGGUUUUUCAAAUAGAAUUGAUUUAAAUGGAAUUUUUGUUACUAAAUCUUUUUUAAUUAAAGCUUUUAUUACAAAAAGAUUUAGUAGUUGUUCAGUUAUCAAUGCAAGUUUUUAUUAUGAAUUAUAAAGUUAUUUUUAAUAGACAAGUUUUUUAAAGUUAUAUUAUAGAAAAAUGAAAUAAGAUUGUCAAAUAAGUAAAUAAUAUUUUAAACAUUUUAACAUUUUACAAAAAAAUUAAUAUCUACUCUCAAAAGUCUAGAAUUUGAGUUUUUAAUAAUAGAGGCAAAUAACUUAUUUUCAUUUGGUAUAACUUUUUAUAUAAAAUUUAUUUAAGUAGAGUUUUUAUUAGUAGAACUUUUAUCAAAAAAUUAUUUGUUUGGUUGUUAAUAAGAGCUUUUAUUAAAAAUUAUGAAAUUACUUUAAUAGGUAAGUUUUUUAGAAUUAUAUUAUGAAAGGAAUAAAAUAAGAUUAUUAAAUAAGUAAAUGAUAUUUAUAUAUUUUAAUAUUUUAAAAAAAAUCCAAUCUCUAUUCCAAAAGCCCAAGUUUUGAGCUAUUGCUAGUAGAUACAAAAUAAUUUAUUUAUUUUUAAAAGCUCUGCUAAAAAAAUAAAAAAACCAAAAAUAUAAAAAGAGUUUACAAAAUUAAAUAAGCACCUCUAACAAUUAGAUAAAAUCAUGUCAAACAAGCACUUAAUUUUCAAAAUCUCUAUUAAAAAAUAACUAAAUAACCCAAAAUAAAUAAUAAAAAGAGCUUAUGGGAUUAAACAAACAUUUAUGACCAUCAGAUAAAUCACACCAAAUAGGACUAAAAUAAAGGUAAAAUCUUGUCUCUNNNNNNNNNNNNNNNNNNNNNNNNNNNNNNNNNNNNNNNNNNNNNNNNNNNNNNNNNNNNNNNNNNNNNNNNNNNNNNNNNNNNNNNNNNNNNNNNNNNNNNNNNNNNNNNNNNNNNNNNNNNNNNNNNNNNNNNNNNNNNNNNNNNNNNNNNNNNNNNNNNNNNNNNNNNNNNNNNNNNNNNNNNNNNNNNNNNNNNNNNNNNNNNNNNNNNNNNNNNNNNNNNNNNNNNNNNNNNNNNNNNNNNNNNNNNNNNNNNNNNNNNNNNNNNNNNNNNNNNNNNNNNNNNNNNNNNNNNNNNNNNNNNNNNNNNNNNNNNNNNNNNNNNNNNNNNNNNNNNNNNNNNNNNNNNNNNNNNNNNNNNNNNNNNNNNNNNNNNNNNNNNNNNNNNNNNNNNNNNNNNNNNNNNNNNNNNNNNNNNNNNNNNNNNNNNNNNNNNNNNNNNNNNNNNNNNNNNNNNNNNNNNNNNNNNNNNNNNNNNNNNNNNNNNNNNNNNNNNNNNNNNNNNNNNNNNNNNNNNNNNNNNNNNNNNNNNNNNNNNNNNNNNNNNNNNNNNNNNNNNNNNNNNNNNNNNNNNNNNNNNNNNNNNNNNNNNNNNNNNNNNNNNNNNNNNNNNNNNNNNNNNNNNNNNNNNNNNNNNNNNNNNNNNNNNNNNNNNNNNNNNNNNNNNNNNNNNNNNNNNNNNNNNNNNNNNNNNNNNNNNNNNNNNNNNNNNNNNNNNNNNNNNNNNNNNNNNNNNNNNNNNNNNNNNNNNNNNNNNNNNNNNNNNNNNNNNNNNNNNNNNNNNNNNNNNNNNNNNNNNNNNNNNNNNNNNNNNNNNNNNNNNNNNNNNNNNNNNNNNNNNNNNNNNNNNNNNNNNNNNNNNNNNNNNNNNNNNNNNNNNNNNNNNAUAAUUUUUUAAGAGGUAUCAUUUUUUUUUUUGAGAGGUUUAAGAGAUAUCAUUACUACUACUACUACAAAUUAUAAUUAGAUAACAAAAUAAAAAUAAAAUUAAUAAUAUAAAAAAAUUUUAAAUAUAAUUAUAUGUACACAAUAAAAAAAUCUUUUAUAUACAUAUUUAUAAAUGUUUAAAUAACUUUAUUCAACAUUAUGUCUAAAUAAGUCAUUUACAUUCUUAGAGUAAUUUAAUAAUGAGAUUUACUAAACACAUACAACUACUUUUAAAAUGUACAGCACUUUUAAAAAUAAAUUUUAUUGAACGUUUAAUUGAUUUUCUUCACAACUGAUUAUUUCAACAGUACAACUGACAACAAUUAUUUUAAAAAUUAUAACAUUAGCAAAUUGGCCCUUUAUGAGGUUUGAGUUCUCUCCUUUGUGAUAAAAAUAUGCCUUUAUUUUUAAGAAAAAAUAUUAUUCCUAUGAAUUGAAUUUCAAAUUUUGAAUGAAUAUAAUUUUAAAAGAUGAUAAUGAAUGUUCAAUUCAUGUGUGAUUAUCUAGUUGGAUCCGAUUAUGGAUAAAAUAUCAUAUUUGAUUAGCCAUAUCUCAUCUGAUGAAACAUAUCACAUUCACUCGUUGUAUGGUGGACAUUUAUAAUUUUACAACAGAAAUAUAUAUGAAGUGGAGUCUCUCUUUUAUUGUUCAUAAGUUAUAACCAUGUGAAAAGUACCCACUUCUAGGCCCAUGUUUGGUUGGAAGAAAUGGUAGGAAAAGAAAUGAAUGGAAAAGAAAGAAAGGGAGAGAAAAUGAGUGAAAAAGAAGGUCAAUUUCAUUUUUAUUAUUUGGAUGGUCAAGGAAUUCAUUUUUCUCUCCUCUCCUCCUUUCCUCUUCUCUCAUCUCCUUAUAUUUCUCCAAACUAAACAUGUAAGAACUUAAACACAAAGACAAUAAUAAACUGAAAAUGAAAGCCAAAAUAACACCUUUUUACAACAUUACCCCAAAAAAAAAAAAAAGUACGAAGUUCAAAGAGAGACUGAACGAGCGAAUUUUAUGCUACUGCCUGCAUGCGUUCAGGCAGGAGCCAGUAAAUUUUCACGGCGACGUUUGAAAAAGAGCGAAAUUCCAUCCCGAUCAGGAAGAUUUUCUUCGAUUACAGGGGCUUUUUUGAAAUUUUCAAACCACGCAUGUAGGCCUGGGAAUUUGUGAGAAUCAAAAAGUUUCACUCCCACUAUAUCUUCAAGGAUUUGCAACCAAUAAAGCAUUGAACCAAAUGCUAUAUCAAGUGAACCAAUUUUGUCUCCGUGGAAAAUUUUCUUCUCUCCAAUGCCAUGUUCUUCAAUAGUUUGUAGCAUUUCCAAGAUUUCCUUCAUCCUACUCUCUUCAUCUUGAUUGCUGUGAAACAUUUUCCAAACAGCAACUCCCUGCGAUUAUGUGUGUGUGUGUAUUAUCACUAUGUCAACAAUAUGUAUAACCUAAAAAACUUGGAUUACACGUAAAUAUCUUAUUUGUUAAAAUGCUUAAGUUGAUACUAAAGUUUAACUACUAAGUUACAAUAACAAAGAGAAAAUGAACAAAACGUCAAAACUCCACUAUAUUAUUUUAAUAAACGAAAUUGUUAGUUUUCUUUCUAUUGAAGUCAAUAUAUAUCACUUAUCUCAACACUGUUUUCAUAAUUGUCAAUAUCUUAUAUGACAUAAAAAAAUUUAGAGGAAAAGAGGAGUAAAUGAGUCAUUUAUUAAAAAAAUAUAGGAGAUUGUUUUAAUAAAGGAGAUUGUUAGUUUUCUUUCUAUUAAAGUCAAUAUAUAUCACUUACCUCAACACUNNNNNNNNNNNNNNNNNNNNNNNNNNNNNNNNNNNNNNNNNNNNNNNNNNNNNNNNNNNNNNNNNNNNNNNNNNNNNNNNNNNNNNNNNNNNNNNNNNNNNNNNNNNNNNNNNNNNNNNNNNNNNNNNNNNNNNNNNNNNNNNNNNNNNNNNNNNNNNNNNNNNNNNNNNNNNNNNNNNNNNNNNNNNNNNNNNNNNNNNNNNNNNNNNNNNNNNNNNNNNNNNNNCCGCGAGCGCCGGCGCCUUACUUUAAAUACGAGUAAAAGCGUAUUUAAAAAUAAGAAAAAACUAUAAAAUUAUGGUGACUGGUGGAUUCUUGACUAUUAUGAAAAUAUUAAGGCUUAUGUAGAAUAUAUAUGGAAUUCGGUAGGAAAGAAACUAAUUAUAUCCCUUUUAAUAAAUUAAUCUUUUUCUCCCUCAUAUUUUAAAAGCCAUCACAAUUUUCCUUGUCGCUAAAAAAAUUAUGGUCAUUUUCAACUCUUUGUCCUUUAGUAAAAUACACCAUGGAUUAAUAAAAUUUUCUAAGGGUAACAACACAAAAAUUUAAGAGUUAACUGCACUUAUUGAACAACAAAGAGAUUAAUAUUGAUUGGUUUUAAUACAUACAUAAUAGGAUGAUUAAUUUCGACAAACAGUAGGGACUUUUGAUCAUUUUGGUAUCUGUUGACAAGUAAAUACGUACGAAAGGAAUAAACAUACGUAUACAUAUGUUAGCUAGAGUCGUGAAGCGAACCUUGUCUUCUCCAAAUUUAAUCCAAAAACGAGCAAGAGCUCUAUCAUAAGGAUCGUUUGGCAUCAAGGGGCUCUGUGGCCACAUCUCUUCAAUAUAUUCAAGAAUAACCAUGGAAUCGCAAACUGGUUUUUCGCCAUGAACAAGCACUGGGAUCUUCUUGUGAACUGGAUUAUACUUCAAAAGCAAAGCACUCUUUUCGUUUGAGAAUACAUCUUCUUCAACAAAUUCAAAUGGUACGCCUUUCAAUUUCAGAGCCCAUAUCACUCUGUAAACAAAUGGACUCGGCAGUGUCCCAAGAAGCUUAACUUCAGCCAUGUUUUCGAAGAAUAUAUAGUAUUGAAGUCGAAUGAAUACCAGUGUGCGGUUGUUUGAACGGCUCACUCAUUACAUGUACAUGCGUACAUCUGAAUUUAUAGCGACUAAUCGAGUGUGCUCAUUGCUUGAGCAAAAAGCUUCAAGUUUAAUUUCCACUAAUAAGACAAUUAAAGUUGAAUACGAAUAAGUGACAUCUCGACUCUCCUCACCUUCUAAUUUCGGAGUGAAAAAUAUAAAUAUAAAUGUAAAAAAAUAAUAUAAAUUUAUUUUAAAAGGAUAAAAUAAAAUAUUAACUGUCCUUUGGGUGUAGUUCGAUUGCCCGAGAAUGUACAUUGCUCCCAAUAUCAUUCGAAUUUAAGUUAUAAUAUGAGUAAAUGUUAUUGUUUAACGGGUGAAGUUUUCAUCCUCAUAUAAACCUUAAAAGAAAAAUAUUAGUUGAAUGAUUAUAAAAAUAAGUUAGAUAAUAAGAUAAUAUUUCUAAAGAAUGGAAUAACAAUAAAUUUAGAGAUGAGUUGGAAAAUGGAUCUUUUAAUUGAAUAUUAAACUAGUGAAGAGAAUUAUGAUUUAUUAUUUCCUAUAAAGAAAGAUAAAUUGUACUAGCACUAUAAUCAGCGCAAUUUAAUGAAUAUAAAUUAAUUUAGUGAUAUUUUUCAACUUCUAUUAUAAUUUAGUCAUAACAUUUGUAUAUAAAAUUUUCUUUUCCAAAAUUUUUAGAGGGGCCACUUGAACAAAGAAAAUUAUCAAAUUUUAAUUGACUUUUUUUCUUUUCUUUUUUUUUUAAAGGUAGGGGGUAGGUAAGCCCAAAUAUAAUUUUUAUCCCCUUUACCCCUCAAGAAUUGAACCCCGGUUUUAAUAGAGGCUACAACUGCACUGCAACCAACCCGACCACGCCCUUGGAGGUUAAUGACUUAAUUGACUUAAUUUUAAUAAGUUAAGUCAUUAAAUCCGUUUUUUUUAACUUAAUGAAAAAUUUUAAUCAUUAAAUUAUUAAGUUAUUAACUCAAAUUUUUUUAACUUUUUGCUUAUUUUAAAAAAUCUAAAUGAUGUCAUUAAAAGAUAUUUUUCAAAAUAUCCAUGUAUAAUUAAUUAAUUUUCAUUCUUACCUAAAUAAAGUUUAAUAAUUAACAUUAUUACCCAUUUCUAUAACUUGUGAUAACAUAGUGGUAGACUAUUAUUAUUAUUAUUAUUAUUAUUAUUAUUAUUAUUAUUAUUAUCUUUUUAUUUUCUUCAAAUUAGUAUUAUUUAUCUUCAUUAUUUUUAUGAAUAUUUUUCAUAUAAAAACAUCAUGAGUUAUAAUUAUAUUGAUUAACAUAUAUUAAUUUAGGAUAUUAAGGGUUGUAUUCAAUUGAACAUGAUUUAUAUAAUGAUAAUAUAUUAUUUUACUUAAGUUCUUGAGAUGAUUAUUAUUUAUUUAACAUUAAUAAUUUGUGAGGGCACAAAUAUAAAAAUAUUAUUUUUCAAAUUAUUUAAUUUAAAAAACAAACAAAUUAAUAUCUGUUUUUAGCAAUUCAAACAGAAAACAAAUAUAUGAUUCAAAUUUAGAUAAUUAAUUGUAUUUAGAAUUUAGACUAAUUCAAAAUUAAUCAGUUUUCAGACAUAAACCAAAUGCACCUAAAUGUUAAACUUAUUUUAAAUUAUAAGUAAGACUUUUUUACGGAAAUCAACAGAAACAUUGUUGCUAACUCAUCAUAUUUUCAAAUUUAAAAAAGGGUCAUGUUGUGUGGAAAUCAUAUUUUAUUUUGAGUGUCAAUUUUUGUCAAAAGGGCAAAAGGCUGUUGGCUUGUGAGAUCAUUAAUUAAUUAGAUCAGCUGGUAAGAUAUCUAACCAUUAAUUAAUUAUAUAUGUGGCAUCAGUUUCCUAAUUUAAUACGUCAUGCAUGAUCAAUGUUUUUUAAUUUACAUCAUGCAUGACAAUCAUGGACCAUUUAGUCUAUAUCAGACGUUUUACGUUUUGUGAGGUAAAAAUUUAUUUAGUCCAUAUAUUUUGAGGUUAGUAUUUAUUUAAUUCUUAUAUUUUUAAAAAUACAUUAAAGCAUCUAUGUCAUUAAAUUAUUGAUACCCUUGCCAUUACCUUUUGUUCAUUUUGACUUAUUUUUAUAAUAUUAUUCUAUUACAAUAAUGUUUCUUUUUUUAGACAUUAUUACAAAGAAAAAAAUUAAAUGACCAGUUUAACACCAUAUAUAUAUAUAUAUUAAUUUUUGUGGAAUACUCUCCUGAGGAGUUAAAAUCUUAAUUUUUUAACUUUUUGCUUAUUUUAAAAAAUCUAAAUGAUGUCAUUAAAAGAUAUUUUUCAAAAUAUUCAUGUAUAAUUAAUUAAUUUUCAUUCUUACCUAAAUAAAAUUUAAUAAUUGACAUUAUUACCCAUCUCUAUAACUUGUGAUAACAUAGUGGUACACUAUUAUUAUCAUUAUCAUUUUAUUUUUUUUAAAUUAGUAUUAUUUAUCUUCAUUAUUUUUAUGAAUAUUUUUCAUAUAAAAACAUCACGAGCUAUAAUUAUAUUGAUUAACAUAUAUUAAUUUAGGAUAUAAAGGGUUGUAUUCAAUUGAACAUGAUUUAUAUAAUGAUAAUAUAUUAUUUUACUUAAGUUCUUUGAGAUGAUUAUUAUUUGUUUAACAUUAAUAAUUUGUGAGGGCACAAAUAUAAAAAUAUUAGUUUUCAAAUUAUUUAAUUUAAAAAACAAACAAAUUAAUAUUUGUAUUUAGCAAUUCAAACAUAAAACAAAUAUAUGAUUCAAAUUUAGAUAAUUAAUUGUAUUCAGAAUUUAGACUAAUUCAAAACUAAUCAGUUUUCAGACAUAAACCAAAUGCACCUAAAUGUUAAACUUAUUUUAAAUUAUAAGUAAGACUUUUUUACGGAAAUCAACAGAAACAUUGUUGCUAACUCAUCAUAUUUUCAAAUUUAAAAAGGGGUCAUGUUGUGUGGAAAUCAUAUUUUAUUUUGAGUGUCAAUUUUUGUCAAAAGGGCAAAAGGCUGUUGGCUUGUGAGAUCAUUAAUUAAUUAGAUCAGCUGGUAAGAUAUCUAACCAUUAAUUAAUUAUAUAUGUGGCAUCAGUUUCCUAAUUUAAUACGUCAUGCAUGAUCAAUGUCUUUUAAUUUACAUCAUGCAUGACGAUCAUGGACCAUUUAGUCUAUAUCAGACGUUUUACGUUUUGUGGGGUAAAAAUUUGUUUAGUCCCUAUAUUUUGAGGUUAGUAUCUAUUUAAUUCUUAUAUUUUUAAAAAUACCUUAAAGCAUCUAUGUCAUUAAAUUAUUGACACCCUUGCCAUUACCUUUUGUUCCUUUUGACUUAUUUUUAUAAUAUUACUCUAUUACAAUAAUGUUUCUUUUUUUAGACAUUAUUACAAAGAAAAAAUUAAAUGACCAGUUUAACACCAUAUAUAUAUAUAAAUUUUUGUGGAACACUCUCCUGAGGAGUUAAAAUAUUAAUUUUUUCUAAAAAAAUGACAAUCUAAUUUUUUAUAAUAUUAAUCUUUUUGGACAUACGUGAGCUUUCACAAAAAUUAAUAUAUAUUUUUUUGUUUUUAUUUUCUUUUUGGGUUUAAUUUGAUAAUAUAAUUUUUUUAUUAAUAUCCAAAAAAGAAACAUUACUGUAAGAGUGUAAUAUUAUAAAAGUAAGGUAAAAAGAAUAAAAAAUAAUGGCACGAGUGUCAAUAUCUAACAACAGGGACGUUUUGAGGUGUUUUUAAAAAUAUAAGGACUAAAUGACCACUAACCUCAUAAUAUAGAGACUAAACAAAUUUUUACCCCCUUUUGUGCAUGCAUCAUUAGAAAGUAUAUGUUUAAAUGCCAAAUAUGGAGACAAAUCGUAGUAACUUUUUUUCCCCUUUUUUUAAGGAUUGCAUUACAAUCUACUUAUAUAUAAAAUUUUGAUUAUAUGGGGAGCGUGUAUCAUUAGAAAGUAGAUCUUGAAAAAAAACAUGUUACUUGAAUAGUGCUAAAUAUGGAGACAAAUUAUAGUAAUUAUUUUUUUAAAGGAUUGCAAUCUAGAGAUAUUUAAAAUUUUAAAUUUAUUAGGAGCUUAAAUCUAUGUAUUUUAUAGAAUAAUUUAGAGGUCUACCGUAUAUAAUUUAGAAAUAUACAACAACUAAGAGGUGAGAUCUCUACCCACUUGAAAGGCCUACCAAAUAUAAUUUAAAAAUCUACAUCAACUAAGAGGUGAGACCUCUACCUAGUUGAGAGGUCUACUAAAUAUAAUUUAGAAAUUUACACGAAGAGAUAAAAUAUCUAACCAAUACAAAAGAAUAUAUAUAUAUAUGUAGUACAAUUAAAAGUAUCUUCAAAAGGAUCUAUUAAUUUUACUCUUCAACUAUCUAUUUGUUUACUUAUGUGGUAAAAAGAAGAAUAAAAAAUUAUGUUAUUCUCCAAAAGACUCUUCAAAUAGAAAUAAGUUAAUAUAAUUUUAAUCAAAUAACUAUUUUUUCAAAGGAAAAAAAUGGUAAUUAAAGCACUUCUCUCUCUCUCUCUCUAAAAUAAAAAGUAAUAAAAUAUAAAUUGAAGAGAGAGAAAAUAAUUCUACAAAAUUGAAGAGAAAUAAUCAUUUCUUAUUUGAAGAAUAUUAAAUGGAAUGUCUUUUGGAGUUUUAAAUACUAAUGUGGUUUUUCAAAUAAGUAAUAAAAUCUUAUUUGAAGAGUUUUUUAGAGAUGAUCUAAGAGAUAUAGACACCAAUCGAGAGAUGAGUUCUGUAACUGAUUGAGAGGUCUACCAAAUAUAAUUUAAAAAUCUAUAUUAAUGAGAGGUGAGAUCUCUACCCAAUAAUUAAGAAAACACAUCUAUUUCAAAUCUACACCAAUUAAGAGAUAAAAUCCCUAUUUAAUACAGAUAUAUAUAUUUCUACCCAUAAAUAGAAGAGAGGAAUCUAAAUUGAGGUUUGAAGAGAAGUCUCGAACCAAGCCAGAGCCCGGAAUAGUGACAAAUUAUAAAUUUAUAAUAACCUCACCGGAAGCCUUGGAGGCAUAAUCAAAGGGCAUUAGGAGAAAUUGGAAGAAAAACUGGGCUCAGAGAAAAGGCCUAUGAAUAUUAAAUUCAGGCCACAAGCCCAUAAUGCAGCGGAUGAUUUGAUCCAUUUGAGCUAGUUUAUGUUUAUGCAUUACCUAACAAAUAUUGUCAAGCAACAAAAUGGAAUUUUCAGAGGGAUUCUCUCACUUCUCCGUUCAUUUUCUUAGCAACCAAAUGAACUCAAACUAAAAUAGUAAGGAGAACAUUGAAGGAUUAUCAAUCCUUCGUAUAGGUAAGUAACAUUACUUGGAAUUAAAAAAAAUGUGGGAUAAUAUUGGUAAAAUAUAGUACUAUAUAUAUUCUCAUCAUAAGGGUUACUUUUAGAUUACUCUUCUCAUGAAUCUUUAAAUCACCCUUUAUUUUUCAAAAAUCUCAUUUUAUUUUCCAUUUUUCAUAAGAAAAUAAAAAGUUUCAUCAACCCACCUCUAUUUUUUUAAAAUAGUCAAUUCACGAGGGAAUAAUCAAAAUUUACCCUUCACAUAAAGUCAUAAUUUUAACUUUCACAUUAGUCCAAAGAAGUUAAAAAUCCAAGAGGAAGUGGAGUCUGCGUGUUCUUUAAGGACAUGUUUGGCAUUGCUAGCAAUGCAAUGCAAUCCCAUGUUUGGUGCACUAAGUGGCUACAUUAGGUAAUUUACCUAAUGCCAUGGUCGCCCCCUCAGUUUCUUUUUUCUU
RNAcentral lists this long non-coding RNA (47728 nucleotides) under Citrus x clementina. Its description in RNAcentral is "Citrus clementina (C. clementina) long non-coding RNA (CCLE_LNC000205)". The record is from RNAcentral. Lineage: Eukaryota; Viridiplantae; Streptophyta; Magnoliopsida; Sapindales; Rutaceae.